Molecule: long non-coding RNA, 61653 nt
Filed under: Zea mays
Lineage: Eukaryota; Viridiplantae; Streptophyta; Magnoliopsida; Poales; Poaceae
Description: long non-coding RNA (ZMAY_LNC002145)
Source: RNAcentral
UCGCACAUAUUAUUGAGACCAACUAGCAACAUAGAAAGCACAAUAUUGUACCAAUAAUGGCAGCCAAAAUAUUUUGCCUCAUUAUGCUCCUUGGUCUUUCUGCAAGUGCUGCUACGGCGAGCAUUUUCCCGCAAUGCUCACAAGCUCCUAUAGCUUCCCUUCUUCCCCCAUACCUCUCACCAGCGAUGUCUUCAGUAUGUGAAAAUCCAAUUCUUCUACCCUACAGGAUCCAACAGGCAAUCGCAGCAGGCAUCUUACCUUUAUCACCCUUGUUCCUCCAACAAUCAUCAGCCCUAUUACAGCAGUUACCUUUGGUGCAUUUAUUGGCACAAAACAUCAGGGCACAACAACUACAACAACUCGUGCUAGCAAACCUUGCUGCCUACUCUCAGCAACAGCAGUUACCUUUGGUGCAUUUGUUGGCACAAAACAUCAGGGCACAACAACUACAACAACUCGUGCUAGCAAACCUUGCUGCCUACUCUCAGCAACAACAGUUUCUGCCAUUCAACCAACUAGCUGCAUUGAACUCUGCUGCUUAUUUGCAGCAACAACAACUACUACCAUUCAGCCAGCUAGCUGCUGCCUACCCCCGGCAAUUUCUUCCAUUCAACCAACUGGCAGCAUUGAACUCUCAUGCUUAUGUACAACAACAACAACUACUACCAUUCAGCCAGCUAGCUGCUGUGAGCCCUGCUGCCUUCUUGACACAGCAACAUUUGUUGCCGUUCUACCUGCACACUGCGCCUAACGUUGGCACCCUCUUACAACUGCAACAAUUGCUGCCAUUCGACCAACUUGCUUUGACAAACCCAGCAGUGUUCUACCAACAACCCAUCAUUGGUGGUGCCCUCUUUUAGAUUGCUUAUGAGUUAUAGUUCAAUAAUAAAGUUUUUUUUGCUGAUAUUUGUGGCUUCCCAGAAAUAAGAAAGUACAUUUCUAGAUUCUUAUGUGCUUCUAGUCUCCAAAUGUGGUUGAUAGUUAUUUUGCUCUAAGAUCGGCAGUAAUGAGGUAUAAAUACUUGUUGUCGUGUGCUACUCGGUUAAUUGAGCAUUAACACACAUAAACAUUACAAGGAUGGUAUAAUCUCCUAAAAUGUGUACAUUGUUAGGUGUAACCCUAUAGCCAUGCAGAAUGUGCUAUGUUAGGCAUGCCGAUGGAAACGUGUGACACAUACGUUUUGUUAACCUAUUGAUAUUAUAUGUGCCUUUUAUAUUACCAUAUUUUAUUAAAAUACUAAUAUUUAUUACUAGUAAGAUAUAACAUUCUAUCUAGCUUAAAAACUAACCAUAAAUAUUCCAUCAUAACUAGAUUUACCAAACUAAUAUACUAAAUAUACAUAAUAAAUACAAAAUUAACAAUACAAUAUCAAUAUUUAUGAGCUUAAUAAAUUUAAACAUUAUGGUUGGCCGACGAUAAUCAUACUGACUUUCCGUAAUUGCUUGAUUGUAAAUAUACUUAGACUAAUGCCUCUUUGUUCUACAUGGCAAAUAGGGACCACUCUAGGAGACUAGGAUGUUGCUUGAGACGAAGAUGUUAUCAUUGGUGUAGACUAAUUUCUAUCAGCCGCUGACUUCACUAUUGUAACCAUUAUCUCUUGGGUAAAUCAUAUACGAUUAUCUAGCCAAAGGCCCAGAUGAUAAAAACAAUUUUUAAUUGCUAUUUCAGGACAAAUGAAUUAGCAUGGUUCGAAGGAUUGCGACCUUCCCCCCAUGACUUUUAUCGUAUUGUGUUAGUCUAAUCGACAAAACCAAGAUUAGAUAUCAUCGAAGAAGUUGAUAAGCGAAUCUGUGACCACUAUCAGAAUCAGCUGCUUUGCCGAGUGUCUAAAACACUCGACAAAGCCUGAAAAACACUCGGCAAAGGAUUUGCCGAGUGUAACACUCAGCAAAGAAAGCUCGGCGAAGUAUACAUCGGCAACGACUUCUUUGCCGAGUACUUUUUAUCGGGCACUUGGCAAAGAAGCGUCAUUGUCACGACGAUAGGUAAUGCCGACGGAGUCUGUGACGAGUGUCACAGAGUGACGCUCAGCAAAGGCUCACUCUUUGCUGAGUGACCACUGUACAGACACUCGGCAAAGAAGCCCCCGUGGGUCCCUUUAUCAGGGCCUUUGCCGAGCGUAUUAGGUGGCACUCGGCAAAGGCUCCAUCUUUGGUGACUGCCCGCCAGACUAGCAAUCGACAAAGGGAUCAACAGCGGAUCCCUUUGUCAGUUCUUUUGUCGAGUGCUCUAGGAGGCACUCAAUAAAGCUUGUGUUGGGGGCCUUCUUCUUCCGAAGGUCCUCAAAAACGUGACUAACCAUAGGUUUUCAGUAUGACAUAGACUAUUAUAGGAAGCUUUGGCUUUGGGAUGAAGGCGUGUGAUAUGAGGAUACAGCCCAAAGGCAACAUGGAUGGACGUCGAAGCUAUGGCUAAAGGAGUUUCGGCUUGGCAUGUUAGCGAAGAUGAAGGACGAAACCGACCUAAGGGAGAAAAGACUAGUUAGUCCUUGAUAGUUUGCAUUAUGAUUAAGAGCAGAUAUCAGGGGCAUGCAUGUAAUCUUAUCCGGGCUGCGUCCCGUGCCUAUGAAUAGAUGAAUAGUAACACCGUACUGUUCACGCUGGAUUAUAAUCGCUCCUACGUCACUCUCGCGUCUUCACCUUUUGGUAAGCUGAAGGUAUCAAUGUAAUACAAAUAUUGAUGAUGUUUAUUCAUGUUUAUGAAAUGAGAAUAUAAAUAGCUUGCUGAUUCGUAAUCAUUAUUUAUAUUCUUUUGUAUUUCAUGUACCCUUAUUUAGAUGUGUUCACUGAGAUGAUGAAGGUAUGCCCUUCAUGACCUUCGUUCGGAAACCAUUAUAUCCAAAAGGAGAUAAUGCUUCGAAGGACGAAGGUCUCUAAUUAUUGACAAUCAUGUUGUCUUGUUCUUGAUGUAUAGCAUUUGGGAACAAGGACCAACAUUGGCGCCCACCUCCCGUGAACUCAAUCGACCACCUUCGGCAAGCAUCGACUUUCGUAAUGCCGCCGAAGAAGACAAUAGUGCCAGGGGCUGCCCUGCAGCCACUGGACACUAAUCAGGAAACGCUGCGAGAAGCUAGGAUCUAGAAGAGGAAGGCUACUAGCCCAACACCUCAGGAGGAGGAGCUAGAUCAGGAGAUCAGAGAUUUGGAGGCUAUCACCAGCAGGUACAAAGAAAAAGGGAAAAGAUGCUUCAGCUCGUCGAACUUCAGAGAAAGAUCGACAAAGCUGCUGAAGAAAUGCGUCACCUUACCCAGGAUGACCAAGACCGAAGGCCCCAACAUAGGGAGCUUCAUCAAGAAAGCCCAAUUAAUGACGAUGAGUGGUAUGGUGACUUUCAUCGUGGCAAUUUUGCUUUUGAUGAUGCUUCUCCCUUGGCAGCAGAAUUGCAGGCUACCCCGUGGCCGCCAUCAUACAAGCCACCUCAGCUCCCCAUGUAUGACGAGCACUCAGACCCGAAGCAACCAUAUCCUCAUAUGGGGGCAAUACUGCGGUCAUGGCAAAGUCCUUCGUCAUGGCAGUUAGAAGCGUGGCUCAAACAUGGUGCUCUUCUCUUCGGCCAGGGACAAUUACGUCGUGGCAAAAGCUAAAAUACAUACUGGUCACUAGCUUCUAGGGUUUCCAAUCGAAACCAGUUACUGUCCAAACUCUGUUCCAGUGCACACAGGACCAAGAAGAAUACCUCCAAGCGUAUGUCCGAAGGUUCCUGCGAUUGAGAGUUCAGGCGCCUACAGUGCCCAAUGAGAUUGUCAUUGAGGCCAUGAUCAAGGGGUUCAGACCAGGACCAACGGCGCAAUACUUUGCAAGGAAGCCACCACAAACCCUAGAGAAGCCGACGAUGAUUUUCGGCAAAGAAGGCAAGAAGCCUACAGAUACUCUGAGAUGGCCAGGGGCUUCGGAGGAAGAUUUCACCCUAGGCAUGUCAGGUCAAUCCAUAAUACCAGCUCAAGUGACGACAAGGGAAACCAUACCCAAAGGCAGCAACACAGCUCUCAGUCGUCAGGAGCACAACAAAGCUCUUUGAGGCCACCGGCUCCAAGAGGUAGAGGGGGGAGAAGCUUCGGAGGAAGAUAUGGAGAUCAGCCCAGUAAACAGUUUUGUUUGUUCUGCGGUGAAGAUAAGGGGCAUACCACAAGAACGUGCCAAGUUAUGAUUCAGAAGCAGAAAGAAAUUGCUGAAGCUGAAGCACGUUCGAAUCAGCCGAAGCAGGUUCUGCAUACUGCUUCGUGCUACUCUCCCUACGUCCCGGAGUAUGUAGACAAUCAACAGCCUACGACCUUGGUCGCUUCGGCAAGCCAUUCUCAAGCUUCCUGGGCCCAGUUGCCACCACCACCACCGCUAGCACAUGCUCUGGUCCGCAAUCAAUAGCCAGAAGGGCACCACCAUGCUUAGUAAUAGCGCGACCUUCGGGAGGAGUCCGAAGCUCGCACAGUCAACAACAUUGUGCCUAAGUCGAAGCACAUCUAUUAAAGGUGCCACGGUGAUUCAAUUAAAGAAUAUCUUACCCUAAUGUAUCUUAGUUUUUCCGCCAUUUUAUUUUCUUGCAUGAAAAACAAUUCACGAAGGAUUAAUUUCCAAUUUGAUGUAAUAAUACCGUGGUCGCACCAUCGAGUGUGGAGCGCAUCGCCUUAACAAUACUUCCGAAGCUACAAAGACGUUCCUAAGGGAGCGCGGAGUAAGUUCUGAAGCUACAAAGUUGUUCAUAAGGGAGCGCAGAGUAAGUUCCGAAGCUCAAAAGUCGUUCUUAAGUGAAUGCAGAGCCAAGAUGCCACCAAAAUAAAAGGUGAAGAAGCUCAAAAGUCAUUCCUAAGGGGAUGCAGAGCUUAAAUGCCACCGAAAUAGAAGGUGAAGAAGUUCCAAAGUCGUUCCUAAGGGGAUGCAGAGCUUAGCUCCAAAGAUGUUCCUAAGGGGAUGCAGAGCUGAAAUAUAACCUAAGUAAAAAGUGAAGAGACUCAAAAGUCGUUCCUAAGGGGAUGCAGAGUCUGGAUGCAUUUUCGAGUGGGUGUGUUUCUUCGGCAUAAACAUCAUGCUGUAUCAUAUCAUCACAUCAUUUCUCAUAGCAUUACAUCAUACAUCACAUCACAUCAGCAACAGAACUGUGGAGAAGCAAAGAUGCUUCUUUCAAAAUAUUUGAUGAAUGGAACAAUGGGCUGAAGCAGAAAGUGUACCUUCAACAGCUAUAAUUUUACAUACCAAGAAAAAUCUUCGUCGACAAACAAUAUUAUAUAACAGCUACGACAUAAGAAGGGGUGAUUUUUUAUUUGUGAAGCAUGAAAAGAAGGGAAGGUGUUUUUUCACCAAAGGCUAAAAAACAGGUAAGUACAUACAUUUCAUGCAUCACAAAGAAAUAUAUUACAUUAAUAUACAAACAAAUGUUCGAUGUUCGACUCAUACACGAAUAUUACAUUUCUUAGUACACAAGAAUUUAGUCUUCUUUCAAUAUUUUCUCGGUAGCUUCAUGUAGGAGUUUGUUGACAGCUUCAUCAACGGCUUCUUCGGCAAUCCUUAUCGUUUCUAAUGCCCCCCUCAUGGCCGGAUCGGCCUCGGGAUCAUAUGGCUCAGGCGGUGGUGAAAAAUCAGCUGUAAUAAAGAACAAGUUGUUAAUAUCAAAGCCAGAAACAAAUACUGAAGCUAAAAUUCAGUAAUAAUACCUAUACGCCUUGCGCGCUCAGCAACCUCUUGGCUCGCUUAGCUUAUUCUCGAGCAUCAUGGGAUUCUUUUUCAUUUGUCUUUAUAGCUUCAUCGGCUAUCUCACGGCCACCUUUCAUCCAAACAUUGGAAUAAAACUUCUCGCCCAUCAAAGUAGCUUCGGCCGAAGGCUCCUUCAUGUCGUCUAUGGAGAAGACGGCUUCCGCCUGGGCUGCAGUUUUAACAUGUUCACAGCCAGUUUUCUCCAAAACUGCUGCAACCCCUCGGGCACCGGCGAAGGCACAAAAAUCCUCGCGUUCGCUAAGUAUUUCCUCAAAAGCUUCAACUUCUUCGCAAAUCCAUUGAACGACUCCUUUUGGAUCGCCUCGAAUAAAUUUUUGCUCCGAUGAGUAUGCACCCACCUUUGCAAAACUGUCUUUCAGUUUCUUUGCAUAGUCCAUGGAUACUUCGUAGCAUUUCUCUCUGGAACCCCGAAGUUCUUCAACAUUCUUCUCAAGCCUGGAGCUUGUCCAUUCACUUAUAUCUUACUUUGCCUUAGCAAGUUCAAUAUUUUCGCUCAUUUCGGCAAGUUUUUUGUGAAGGUCUUCGACUUCGGCUUGGUGAGCUUCGGAUUGUGCAUUAAGUUUUGCUUCGUUGCUCUUCAGUUUAUCCACCAAGGAAAGCAGUAUUUUAUCUUUUUCAAGCGCCUCGUUCCUUAAUGUAAUAACUUAUGACCGAAGGUUCCCAAGGGCUAUUUGGCAGCUUUCAUCUUCUGCAUUCUUUUGUGCCCUUAAAGCCUUGCUUAGGAUUAAUGCCUACAAAAAAUGAAGGAUCAGCACACAACAAUAAGAAAAGAUACAAAAAGUAAUCUGCUUAUAAGCUAAAAUGUCCUCACCAUCAGACUGUUAUAAGCAAGGAUGUCUGCAAGGUCAUCUUUCGACAUUGCAGACAACCCAAGCUCUAGCUUCGGGAAACCUAUAUUUUUUGCCAUCUCCCGACAAACAAAUAUUUUCUUGUUGUCUGGAAGGCAAUACAAAAAAUCAUCUUCGUCAGUGCCAUUAAACAUGAGGGAUCCUGGGGGAUACUUCAGAUCCUUAGCAAAUUGCCUAGCUUCGGCAACCUGCUCCUCUGAUAGUUUUUCCCUACCGCGUGACACACUAUAAAUUCCGAUCCCUCAGUAGAAGCUUCAACGGCAAGGAAUUCAGAUUCUUUGCUGGUUCUCUCUUUUCCUAACGGUAACGGAGCUUUUUCAGCAUCCAAAGGUCCUUUUUCAGCAUCCUUUUCAAUAAGCUCUGCAGGCCCUAUUUCUGCGGGAACUGAGGGCCCAGCUUCAGCUUCAACCCAAGUUAUGAUAGCUUCGGCAGUUUCCUUUGUACUUUUCUUACCCAUGCUAGGUACUUCUGUAGAGGCAGGAGUUAGUACUUUUGUCGAUUCCAUGACAGCAUCCAGUACACUAGCCAUUCUCCUCCUUUUUGGAGUUAUCAAAGUAGUUUUUUGAAUCUUCGGCAAUUCUGCCUCUGGCCGUGAAAAAGUUUUUGGCUGCUCCGCUGCUAUCUUCAGAAUUGGCUCUUCGGCUGAUCCCAAUAUGGCUUCGGCAGUAGCGAGAUGAUUUUGCUCAGCUGCAGAAGAAGACCCUUCAACAGGCUUUGACACUUUGGCCGUCUCAGAGUGCCUGGGCCGGUGUGUCAAGACUUUGCCAUUUUUCCCUUCGGCGUGGCAGAGAUUGCCGAAGCAGUAGCCUUCCUUUUCUUUCCCUGCUUUCGCGAGGGAUAACAAUAGUCUGGGUACACAAAACCAAUUACAUCAAAAACCCUAUUUAAUCUCUUCUUGCCUCGUCCUCCGAAGGCCAAUGUCAUGGCAUCGUCUUCGGCCCUUGUGUAGGCCCCAAGCAAUUCGUCACUAGUAGCCUCAAUGCAAUCCAACCAGUCAUCGUUCGGCUCAUCGAACUGAUCUCUGUAUCUGAAGGUGUAUUUCAGAUAAACUAAACUAACUUGACUGGACCCGGCCGCAGCUUCCUUCGACAUCUCCCAGCCACUUCCAAGAGGCCACACUCUGUAAGCAAUAUGCUCCUAGACUAAGUCCCUAGUGCCAAUAUAAGUACAUAAAGUGUUAAAGUCCGUAUGGCAUGCUUGAAUAUCAUGUCCAUGGACAGUGGUUGGCCUCCUAAUGCCGAAGCGAGACCAGAUAGGGCAUUGAAUGAUCCCCUUUAUAUCUUCUCUUUCAACUAAGUUGUUCUUCACAUAAAACCACUCUUGCAUCCAGGCUCCUGGCCACCUCUUCCAAAAUGUUGGGACGGGAUAGCUCACACCAGAGCGAGGCAUGAAGCCGUAACAACGAAAAUUAUUAUGAUAUUGUUCUAUGCCAGUAGCCUUUGUCUCAUAGGACAGGUCAUGCAUGUUGCAGAAGCAUUUUGCAUUCGGCUCUAAACCCUGGCCCAAAUGAAAACUCCCAUUCUGAUGAUAUCUUCGGGGGUAAUUUGAUGAAGGUAAAUUUCAAAAGUCUUCAAAACUUCAACUAAAAAUUUGUUCAGGGAGAAUCGAAGCCCUGCUUUCAUAGAACUCCUGUAGACAACAACUUCGUCUGCUUCGGGCAUAGGGGCACUGCUAUCUCCUCUGGCCCUCAUGAUAGAAAUAUCGCGGAAGUAUCUUCCUUUCAUUGCAUCAAUCUGACUCUGUUUGAUGGUUGAUUUAGCAAAGAUGGUAUGACUCGGUCGCCAGGGCUGAUCUUCGACAUCUUCGUUUCCACUUUCUAAGUCAAAACUUUCACUAUCGCUGGAAUCUUCAGACAACCCAACCAACAUCUCAUUGGUGAUCUUCUUCAUAUUUGUCUUCUCCAUAGCUUCAUAAAACCCGGCCAAUGCAGGGUCAGCAAUCUUCUUCUCUUUAGCCAUUUAGACAACGAUUGCACGAUUGUCGAAGCUUAAAACUCAAUCAAAACUCGACAGAGCAAGAGAAUUCAGAAUGUCUAAAAUAGCGCAAGCAACUGAAAUAGCACAGCAAAUGCUGCCAAUGCGAGUUUCUAUUUAUAUGCCUCACGAUUUGGUGGGCCAUACAUGUCAGUGGCUUUCGCUAUUCUAGCGAAGGGAAGGUGUUUUUUCGGAUCUUCGGUUAAAGGCCUUCGUUCACGUCACAGUCUAAAUUUGUUACAAAGAAACAAAUUAAUACUACGAGGGGCUACUGUUGGGGGCCUUCCUUUUCCGAAGGUCCUCAAAAACGUGGCUAACCAUAUGUUUUCAGUAUGACAUAGACUAUUAUAGGAAGCUUCGGCUUUGGGAUGAAGGCGUGUGAUAUGAGGAUACAACCCGAAUGCAACAUGGAUGGACGUCGAAGCUAUGGCUAAAGGAGCUUCAGCUUGGCAUGUUAGCGAAGAUGAAGGACGAAACCGACCUAAGGGAGAAAAGACUACUUAGUCCUUGAUAGUUUGCAUUAUGAUUAAGAGUAGAUGUCAGGGGCAUGAAUGUAAUCUUAUCCGGGCUAUGUCCCGUGCCUAUAAAUAGAUGAGAAGUAACACCGUACUGUUCACGCUGGAUUGUAAUCGCUCCUACAUCACUCUCGCAUCUUCACCUUUUGGCAAGCCGAAGGUAUCAAUGUAAUACAAAUAUUGAUUAUGUUUAUUCAUGCUUAUGAAAUGAGAAUAUAAAUAGCUUGCUGAUUCAUAACCAUUAUUUAUAUUCUUUUGUAUUUCAUGUACCCUUAUUUAUAUGUGUUCACUGAGAUGAUGAAGGUAUGCCCUUCAUGACCUUCGUCCGGAAACCAUUAUAUCCAAAAGGAGAUAAUGCUUCGAAGGACGAAGGUCUCUAAUUAUUGACAAUCGUGUUGUCUUGUUCUUGAUGUAUAGCAUUUGGGAAUAAGGACCAAUAGCUUGCUUCUUUGCCGAGUGCCAAGGCCACAGCACUCGGCAAAGAGUCUUUACCGGUGCGCAGGUGUGCCUUCUUUGCCGAGUGCUAUGACAUUGACACUCGGCAAAGUAUCUCUUUGUCGAGUGUAACACUCGACAAAGUGACCAGAUUAUCCCUUUUUAUUUGUUUUUGCUAUUCCAUCCAAACAAAUAAAAGAUAUAUCGCAUAAUCAUCACAUAUACAUCAUAGAUAUCACAUAAUCAUCGCAUACAUAAUAGAGACUGCAUAUUUCACAAAAAACACAAAUCUCACAAGUUUUUCUCAAACAUGUCCAUGUUCAUACCAAGAUUCACUAACAUAAGUAUCACACAACUCUAAAACAUAAGUUUUUCACAAACAUAAGUUUAGGACAAGUUUAUCACACAAGCUAAGAGAAGAUCAUGAGCGAGGUGGGCGGCUGGACUGGUGCGGCGACGGGCUGGGCGAUCCACGAGGGUUGUUGGAUGCCGCCCUAGAUUGUCCCUGCACAGAGAAGAGAUUGCCUGUGUUAUACUAGAUAAAUAUACAUCAUGCAGGACUAGAAUUUUGAUACUCAUAGGAGUAUGGAACUGAGCAGGGUCAACUGGAGGGAACAACGGAGGUGGUGGAGCAAAACCCUGUGCGGUGCCAAGGCUCUGCAUGUACUGGAACAUCUCUGCCAUCCUCUGUUGAUUUUCCAUGUGGGCCUCCCGCUCCGCCAUCAUCCUCGCCUCCAUAUCCUACCGUUCCCUCCUCUCUUCUUCUAGCUAGGCAUAUAAUAUUUCAACCCAGUGUUAUAAUAACUCAAAGAGAAGGUAUAUAACUCAAGGAAAGACGAGUUACAGAAGCACUAACCUGGAGUUGUUGUAUCUCAUGAUGUGAGUUGUCCUGUCGAGGUCGUAUGGCUGGGCUUGAGCUCGUGGUCCUUGCUCGCACCUGAGACAGAGUGGGAGUGGACAACGAGUCGAUUGUCCCGUCGGCAAUCCAGUACCUCCCAUGCCUCUUGCCUCCUCUGACCCUCAUGAGAACAUCUCCGUCGAUUUCCUUGGUCCUCGGAUCGUAAUCUGGCCCAUGGACCUCAUGUGACAUGGCAGUGUACUCACUUAGGCGGUUGUAGACGGCGGAGUUGCUAUAUGCCUCGGGCCCGUCAUCCGGGUUGUAGGUGACAUCGGACGUCGCCUUUCCCUUGUGGGCCAUAGCAUAAACCGAGAAGAUGGAGCAUGGCUGGCCACCAUGUAACACCAAAUGCAAUAAAAUCAAUGAGAUAGUUAGAAAUAAUAUCUAAACCAGUGCUAUAUACCUAAAUAAAAAGAGGGCGUACCCAUGCUUCUACAUAUUUCCAGAGGUUGCGACUGCCUUGGUGGUGGGAGGGACCUUACAUCAUCAAAUGUCGUUCCAUGCUAGCGUUGUGCGCCUCGUCCCACUUAGGCGAGCACCACCUAUCCACCAUCUGCUCCUAGCACUGAGGAUGCGCGGCGCACCAAUAAGGAAUCAUCUACAAACUAAAACAAGUACAUUGCAUAUCAGAAGAUAAAAUUAAGCAAUUUUUUUCACGAAUAUUAAAGUGAUGUAUUUACCUGCAAGUAUUGGUCCCUAGUCAACGACAUGGUUCGGGCCUCUUGUUUGGUCACCUUCUCUCUAAGGACGGAGCCAUGGUAGAUGAUGAUGACCUAGAUUCGUGCAUCGUAGUGCAUGUCCACGACGAGCUUCUUACAGCUUGUGGUGGCCACCACAUUUGCCCUGGCCUCGUAUCCAGCCUCGCAUCUGAAGAAAUCCUACAUACAAAGGCGAUAUAUCCAUACAUUAUUUCAAGUAUGUGCAACAAAUGCGACAUAUUUUACAAUAUAGUAAGACUUACUCAUAGCUUUUGCUUCACCCGCUCUGCCAUGUUGUUAAAUUCCCUAUCGUCCUAGUCUACUGCAUCAGGGGUGACGACGUAGUGGUCGAAGGUGUAGGCAGUAGGUUGGGCCCACCACUCCAGCGUACUCAACCAGUCCAGGGAAGUGUUCCCUACACAUAAGGCCAAGGAUGCCAUUGGGUUGUGGUCGUGACUCCCUGCAUUCUCCACAACCUUUCAAGACCUGUCCAAGUGAUAAAUAAAAAGUAUUAGUUUAUAUUAUGAAUUUGAACACAUAAUAUGAACAAACAGUGAGAACAUAAAAUUACAUGUCUCUCCCCAUCCUUCUGAAUCAGCGACCGCCUAUCUCGAAGUAUGGGACGCUGAGGGAGACUCGUGGGACCUCGCUGGUAGACGUUCCUCGAAUCUGAAGCACCAGAACCUGAGGCGUCUUGCUGAGCGUCGUCGUCGUCCUACUGUGUCGCAUCGAUAACGACCUGCUGCUGGACGUCGUCAUCCUGUUGUGCCUUCUUCGCCUUCCUACGGGUGCUCCUCCUCCCCCUCCUUGUCCUCAUCCCACCGCCCACCAUAUUUGUCCAACAACCUGUAAUUAAGGGUAAGCAAAUAAGCACAUAUAAAAAAGUUUAUUUACAAAUAGGCGUGAAAUAAAAAAAAUAGCAUUACAUCGUUUAAAAAAAUCUUCAUAUGUGUCGGGGUUAGCCAGAUCAUAAGUGUCAUCAUCACAAUCAACCAUUUCAUAGUCAACACCAUCUGAAGGCGCAAGUUCUUCAUUAAUGUCAUUGCCUUCAAGUAAUUCUAAGUCAUUCUCAUUUUGCACCUCAUCAACAACCAUUUCAAUAUCUACUUCCAUUCCGAUAGCUUCGGUUAAGUCUAUCUCAAAUCACCCUUCUAGCCCAUAUUCUUGGAAGAACUCUCCAUCAUAUGUAUCCGGGUCUAAGUUAUAAUCUUCAUCAUUUGGAACAGGUAAUUUACCGUGCAGUGAUACCUUAUACACAACAUCCCAACCCAUCCAUGCCUCAUAUAGGAGAUGAAGAAUCAAAUGCUGCAUUGGAUUGAAGAAGUCGAGUGGAAAUAUCUUCUCAAGCUUACACAAAAACACGGGUGUCAAUCUUUCCAAGUCUGCAAUCACGGACCAAGAUAACUCUUUCACACAAAGCUGGCAGAAUAAAUAGCUGAACUUUGUAAGCGCUAGCCAUACAUGCUCAGGGACAUAGCCUCGAACCAUCGUCGGAAGAAUCUGUUCAAUCCAUAAGUGGAAGUCAUGACUCUUCAUCCCUAAGACUCACAGAGUAGAUAAGUUCACCCCCCUACUUAGGUUAGCUGCAUACCCAUCAGGAAACAUCAACAUCUUGAUCCACUAAAGUACUUCCUUCCUCUGGGCCCUACUUAGGACGAAAUCGGCCUUAGACCUUCUCCAUGUCUUUCCACCACUAGGCGGCUUCAUUUCUUGGUUUGGUCUAUCACAUAACGCUGUCAGAUCCACUCUUGUCUUUACAUUAUCCUUUGACUUAUCAGGAAUGUCCAUAAUUGUUGCCCAAAGUGCCUCGGCGACAUUCUUUUCAGUGUACAUCAAGUCAAUGUUGUGUGGAAGGAGUGGGUCAUCAUAAUAGGGGAGCCGAGUCAAGCCCGACUUAUGUGUCCACAUAUGCUGCUCACCAUAUCCCACAAAUACACCUUCUGGAUUGGCCACGAGCCCAUCUAUUUGUUGACGAAUUUCGGCACCAGUCAUCAUUGCAGGUGGUUGGUCUGUCACUACAACACCUUUCGUAAAGUUAUUGAUGUCUAGGCGGAAUGGAUGGUUAGGAGGGAGAAAUUGUUGAUGUUUAUCGAACAACGAAUAUUUGCCACCCUUUUUCAACCAAAUGAACUUAAGAGCUUCCUUACAAACUAGGCAUGGGAACUUACUGUGAACACAAUAGACACAGAAUAGCCCAUACGCCGGUAAGUCAUGCAUGGCGUACUAGUACCAAACAUGCAUUUUGAAGUUUUUCUUCGUAGCUCGGUUAUACGUCCAUACCCCUUCCUCCCAAGCAUGUACGAUUCAUCAAUCAAAGGCUCCAUGUACACGCCCAUUUUAUUCCCCGGGUGUCCGAGAAUUAUCAACGACACAAAUAUGUUCUGCCUUUAAAAGCAUACACCGGGGGGAGAUUGAUUGGGAUAACAAACACGGGCCAACAUGUGUAUGGGGCAGCGCUCAUUCCAUAGGGAUUGAACCCAUCUGUGGCCAGCGCAACACGUACAUUAUGAGCCUCUUCAGCUUUCUCGCGGUAAAUGGCAUCAAAGUGUUUCCAUGCUUCACCAUCGGAUGUGUGCACCAUCUUAUCAUGAUUGUAUCGUUUGCCAUUUUUGUGCCAUGUCAUCUGUUUCGCGGAUUCCUCAGUCAUGUAUAGACGCUGGAUCCUCGGUGUGAACGGAAGGUGGUGUAGGAUUGUCACGGGGAUGUCGAGCUGCCUAUCAUGUCCAUCACCAAAGUCUACCUCCAUGAACCUAGACGAUUUACACUUCGGACAGUACUUUGCUUCCGUGUAUUCUUUCCUAAAUAGCACGCAGUCCUUCGGACAAGCAUGUAUCUGCUCAUAUGUCAUCUUGAGUGCACGGAGGAGUUUCUGUGUGUUGGGGACCUUCGGCAUCCGAAGGUCCUCAAAAACGGGAUUUAACAGUAUUUCUGGAAGUAUAAUGUGUGAGCAGGUACCUUCAGACUCAAGUCGGUAUCACGGCAGGAGAAGACCCGGAUAAUACGAAGGUCUUGAUACAACGCCGAAGAUGUUAGCAGGAAAGCUUCGGCAUGGUUGCAGAAAAUGAAACCGACUUAAAGAUGAAAAGGCUAUUCAGACCUCGAUAGAUUACUAUAGAAUUAUUAUCAAAUGUAAAGGGCAUGAAUGUAAUUUUGUAUGGGCUGUGUCCCGUGCCUAUAAAUAGGUGAACAGAACCCCCGUACUGUUCACGCUGACUUGGCAUUCGCUUUUUGCGUCACGCUUGUACUGUCAUCUCCUUCCGAUUGAAGGUACACUUGUAAUUCAACGAUAUUUCUGUUUAUGUCUGAUAAUAAUAUAUAAUUGUUCAUAUUGUCUUUUAUGUUCUUUACAUUUCAUUCUUCGUCAUUGCUUAAUGAAUUUAUGAAGGUACGUCCUUCAUAACCUUCGUCCGUAAACCAUUAUAUCCUAAGGGAAAUAAUGUUUCGGAGGGCGAAGGACUUUAACGAUUAACAUUUUCUAUGUUGCCUUGUUCUUAACUCAUAGCACUUGAGAACAAGUCCCCAACAUUGGCGCCCACCUCCGGUGAACUCACUUCCACUCUUUGAAGUUUUUUGAACACCUUCGGCGAUCAUAAAUCUUCGUUAUGGCGCCGAAGAAAGCUUCAGCGACUGGGGCUGCAGCUCUGCAACCACUGGACCACAAUCAGGAGACAGUUUCCCUGCGGGAGGCCCGAAGCCAGAAAAGGAAGGCUGUCAGUCCGACACCACCAGAGGACGAGAUAGAUCAAGAAAUCAGAGAUAUGGAGAUGCUUCAUCAACAAGUACAGAGGAAGAAAGAAAAGAUGGCCAGGCUAGCUGAACUGCAGAGGCAGAUAGACGAAGCCUCUGAAGAAGUUCGUCAUCUUGCUCAGGAUGAGCAACACCGAAGGCCUCAGCACCAAGACCUUCAUCAGGAGGGUUUUCCCAACGAAGAUGACUGGUAUGACAAUUUCCAUCAUGGGAAUUUUGUUUUUGAUGAUGCUUCUCCUCUGUCCGCUGAGCUGCAGGCUACACCUUGGCCUCCGUCCUACAAGCCGCCUCAGCUUCCCGUAUUCGAUGGUCACUCAGACCCGAAGCAGUUUUUGAUGAGCUACGAAGCAACAGUAUCUUCGUAUGGUGGCAAUGCUUCAGUCAUGGCCAAAUCUUUCGUUAUGGCUGUCAGAAGUGUUGCUCAAACCUGGUAUUCCUCCCUUCGACCAGGAACGAUCACUUCAUGGCAGAAGCUGAAGGACUUGUUGUUAACUAGCUUUCAAGGAUUUCAGACGAAGCCGGUCACUGCUCAGGCUCUGUUCCAGUGCACCCAGGAUCACGAAGAAUACCUUCAGGCGUAUGUCCGAAGGUUCUUGCGUUUGAGGGCACAGGCACCAACGGUGCCCAAUGAAAUUGUCAUCGAGGCCAUGAUCAAGGGGCUUCGGCCAGGACCGUCAGCUCAGUACUUCGCCAGGAAGCCUCCUCAAACUUUGGAGAAGCUGCUCCAGAAGAUGGACGAGUACAUUCGGGCCGAUAAUGAUUUUCGCCAAAGAAGGGAGGAGGCUUUCAGGUUUUCUGAAAUGACCAGGGGCUUCGGAGGGAGGUUCUACCCGAGGCACGUGAGAUCAAUUCAUAACUCUACACAAAAAUGAUGAUAGAGGAAGCCAACAGCAAAGGCCACAAUGCUCCUCACAGGCUUCGGGGCAACAGCAAAGCUCCUUCCGACCACCAGCUCCAAGAGGCAGAGGCGCCAGGGGCUUUGGAGGAAGAUUUGGAGAUCAACCGAGAAGAAUCUUUUGCUUAUUCUGCGGUGAGAACAAAGGCCAUACUACCAGGAUGUGCCAUGUUACUAUUCAGAAGCAAAAGGAAAUAGCUGAAGCCGCAGCACAACAAGCUCAGCCGAAGCAGGUCAUGCAUACAACUUCGUAUCAUUCGCCCUACAUCCCAGAAUAUGUGGGCAACCAUCCUGCAGUUUCUGUUGCUUCGGCAAGUCAGCCUCAAGCUUCCUGGCAACAGCCUCCGCCUCCACCUCCGUUGCAACAAGGCCAGCAACCAGAAGGGAGCCAGUAUGCUCCACACCAGAGGGACUUCAGAGAGCAGUCCGAAGCUCGUACAGUCAAUAGCACUGUGCCAGAGUCAAAGCACAUCUAUUGACGAAUAUCCUACCUUAAUAGCAAUCUUUUUCAUUCAGUUUUAUUUUCUGUAAUAAAGGACAUUGUUUAGGUUUCAUGUAAUUAGUUUCGUUGAUUCCUACAAGAAAAAUAUGUUUUCCUCACAGGCUUAAAUUGAUUGAAGUUCAAAGACUUGUGAUAAAAAAAAGGACCUUCGAACUAUCGAAAAUUCUUCGAAGCAACAAAAAGUCGUUCUAAGGAACGCAGAGUAAGUUUGCCGAAGUCACAAAAAGUCGUUCCAAAGGGAGCGCAGUGUAAGUUUUCUGCUCCAAAGUCGUUCCAAAGGGAAUGCAGAGCAUACAGCGAAAAGUCAACGCUGAUACCGCCUAAGUAAAAGGCGAAGCGCGAAAAGUCAACGCGAAUACCGCUGAAAGUAAAAGGCGAAGAAGCUCCUAAGGGAGGCUUACAGCGAAAAAUAAACGCUGAUUCCGCUGAAGUAAAAGGCGAAGAAGCUCCUAAGGGAGGCUUAUAAAAGAUGUGUUUUAUUGCAGGGAUGCGUAUGUAUCUUCGGAAUAAACGUCAUCUCACAUAACAUAACAUCAUCGCAUCAUUUCGCAUAGCAUAAGCAUCAUACAUCAUUUUGCACAUGGCACAAGAGGUGGACACAUUAUUAAUCUACAGAAGAACGCUUUGAAAAAAGGGAGAAAUCAAAGUCACAAAAAGAUACAUCAUUGAUCUUCGGAAGUGUAUCUUCGGAAGUGUAGCUUCGGAAAAUAUCUUCACGAAGCCUGGAUAUUAAUCAUCAGAACAUUGGAUAUUGUUGUGACAAAGAAAAAUUCUUCUUCACGAAGCAUGAAAAGAAGGGAAGGUGUUUUUUCGUCAAAGACUCAAAAGUGGUACGUGUAAAGUUUCAUGCAUCGUAAAGAAUUGACUAACAAAAAUAGGUAUAUUACAUUUGGGGUUACAAAAUGUUACAGUAUAUUACAUUUCAGAAAGUUUUCACAAAAAUACUUAAUCUUCUCUCAAAACGACUUCUGCAGCCUCGUUCAGGAGCCGAUUGACGACUUCGUCCAUAAUAUCUUCAGCCAUCUUUUUAAUUUCGUCGUCUCCUUUCGGCUGAGGGCCCGAAGACGCUUUAGCACGAUCUGAAGUAAGACAGCAUGCGGCUACAUUGCUAUUACAAAUCGCAAACAAAUCUUAAAGCCUAAGAUUACAACACGAUAAAAACUAUUAGUUAAUACCUAAUUGACCUUCGGCCUCUGCGCUCUUUUCAGCAGCCUCAGCCACUUCUCUAGCAUCGUGAAUGCCCUUUUCACUUCUUCGAAUAAUUUCUCCGGCCAUUUCUCAGCCACCAUUAUCCCAGAUAUCGGUAAAACAUUUUCCACCAAUUAUACUAGCUUCGGCCGAAGGAUCUCUUGCAUCUUCAAAGGGCAAAGCAGCUUCGGAUUGUGCUAAAAUUUUUACAUGUUCGCAGCCCUUCUUCUCUAAGAUGGUGGCAAUCCCUCUGGCACCAGAGAAGGCACAUAUAUCUCCUCGGCUAUUUAAAAUUUCUUCGAAGGCUUCAGCUUCGUGGUCGAUCCAUUCGAUGACACCUUCGGGAUUGCUUCUCGAAAAGUUUUCCUCACUUGAGAAUGCGCCGACCUUGGCGAAGCUAGCCUUUAGCUUCUUAACACAAUCUAUAGAUUUAUUAUAGCAUCUCUUUUUGGACGAACGAAGCUCUUCAACAGUCACUUCUAGGUGAUCUGCCCAUUGAUCGCUGAGUUCACGCUUUGUUUCUUCAAGUAUGCGUUCUUCCUUGGCUCUGGCCAGUUGUUUCCGAAGAUCUUCAAUUUCGCGCUUCUGAGCUUCAGCUUGACCUUUAAAAGCAGCUUCGUCUUCCUUUAUUUUAUUUAUCAAUGAGUAUAAUAUUUUAUCUUUUUCGAGACCUUCGUUCCUCAGUUCAAUUACUUCGGAACGAAGGUUGCUCAGGGCUAUAGUACACCCUUCGUCUUCAGCAUCUUUCUGUGCCCUGAGGGCAUUGCUAAGUAUCAGGCCCUGCAAAGAGAAAUAUGUGUGCGUCAAUAGGUUUAAACAAACGAAAAAUACAAGGAUUUCAUUUCUCGCACCUUUAAGCUAUUGUAAGCCAGGCUGUCGGCCAGAUCGUUCUUCGACAGCACCGAGAGCCCGUCUUCUAAAGUUGGGAAUCCGAAGCUCUUGCUCAUCUCCCGACAGACAGAAAUUUCCUUGCUAUCGGGGAGACAAUACAAGAAGUCUUCUUCUCCACUGCCAUUGAAUAUUAACGCCCCCUUUGGAUAUUUCAGUUUUUGGGCGUAGUGCUGGGCCUCUUGCUCUUCUUUUUCUGAUAGUUUUUUCCCCGAAGCAUGGCGAACAAUAUAAUCACGAACUUUGGGGGAUGCUUCGGGGGCAAUGGCACCGGUUUCUUCAACAAAAGUUGGCUUUGUUAUUUUUUCUGCCUCACUUUCCAAGGAUUUUAUCUUUGCAGGCUCUGAGGGCCCAGCUUCGGCUUUAGUCUCUUGCCCUGAAGCUUUAGAUCCAGAAAUUUCAGUUGUUUCAGGAAUGACAGCAGCCCUCUUCGGAGGUGUGCUUGAAGAUUUGAUCGUUUCCAGUACAUCUAGCACAUUAGCCAUUCUCUUUCUUUUCGGAGUCACUGCUGGCACUUUCACUAUCUCAAUGUUUGCUGCAGGACUCAAAACUUCUGAUGUUUUGGAUCCCUCAGUUGAUUCUUUUACCUUUUCCAUUUUUUCUGUGGACGGCGCUUCGGCUUUCUCUUUCGUUUCUGAUAACAAAAUUUUUGAUUGUUCCAAUUCUAUCUUUGUUGGCACUUCGGCCGUUUCUGCGACUUCUGGCAGCAAGGUUGGCUCGGUUGGUUUUUCAGCUUCGGUGGCCGAAGAAGUUUCUCCGGUAAACUCAGGCACCGAAGCUGGUUCAAUAUAGCGCGGCCGAUGCGUAAGGACCUUUAUCUUCUUUCUUUUCGGUUCUGGCUCGCUAGGAGCAGUUGCAGCUUCUUCUUUUGCAGAGGUUGUGUUUUUUCUCUUCUGCCUUCGAAUGGGAUAGCAAUAGUCAGGGUAGACAAACCCGAUUGCAUCAAAUACCCGAUUCAGCCUCUUCUUUUUUCGGCCUCCGAAGGCUGCUGACAUUGCAGUAUCUUCGGCCUUCGAAUAGGUCCCAAGCAGCUCAUCACUUAAAUUUUCAAUGCUUUUUAACCAGUCAUCAUCUGGUUCAACGAAUUUAUCUCCAAACUUAAAAGUGUACUUCAACCUGAUAAGUCCACCUUCGUCGGCCUCUUUUAUGGUUUCUUGUGGCAUUUCCCAUUUCUCCGCAAGUGGCCAUACCCUGAAGGCGAUAUGCUCUUGUACUAAGUCCCUCGUUCCAAUAAAAGAACAGAUAACACCGAAGGCCCUCUGGCAUUCUUCGGCAGCCUCACUCAUUUCAACCUUCGGCCUCCGAAGGCCGAAGCUUUGCCAAAUAGGGCGCAUAAUUAUACCUUUGAUAUCUUCUCGCGCUGUCAGAUCAUUCUUCACAUAAAACCAUUCUGUCAUCCAGUCGCCGGGCCAUCUCUUCCGAAAGGUCGGCACGGGACAGCUUGACCCGGACCGAGAAACGAAAUUGUAGCAGCCAAAAUUAUUGUGAUACUGUUCCUUACCCCAAGGUUUUGUUUCGUAUGAUAAUUCGUGUAUAUUGCAGAAACUUUUUGCAUCAGGCUUCAGACCUUGGCUUCUCACGGCCCACACGAAGAUAUUUAGCCUUAUAAUUGCCUCAGGGGUAAGUUGAUGGAGAUAGACUUCGAAUAUUUUCAGUACCUCCACAACGAAGCUGCUCAAGGGAAAUCGCAGUCCAGCUUUCAAAAAGCUUCGGUACACUACGACUUCAUUCUCUUCAGGGUGUGGGCAAGUUUUUUCCCCUUCGUCGGCCCUCACAAUGGACAAAUCCCGGAAAUACCUUCCUCUCAUGUUGACAAGAUGAUUCUCUUUGAUAGUUGAUUUACCAUAAACUGAAUGGCUUGGUCGCCAGGGACGAUCUUCGGAGUCCUCACCACCACUGUCCACAUCAUAGCUGUCACUGUCACCAGUAUCUUCAGACAAACCUUCCAGAAUCUCCUUGGUAAUUUUUUCUGUAUUGGUCUUUGACAUCGCUAUAAGAAACCCCAAGUUUUUCUCUUCGUCAAGGCUCAGCUUCAUCUCAGCAACAGUCUUCUUAUCUUCAGACAUCUUCGGAGACGCUAAAAAACUAUUUUCAAAGCCGAAGCUUCAAAACUAAAAGCUUAGCAAAUCGCAGUGCACAAGAGCUAAAAAUUGAGUGAGCGGGAGUAGUUGGCCAGAAAGCGUGUCAAAUGAGUUUGCGGUAUGGCCGUAUUUAUACGCCAAGAGCGUUGAAAAUUCAAAGACCCCGCUUGUCAGUGAAUGUUGCUAUUCUAGCAAAGGGAAGGUGUUUUUUCGGACCUUCGGCGUAAAGCCUUCGUCCAUGUCGCAAUCUAAAUUCGUUAUUUUAAAACAAAUUAAUAUUGCGAGGGGCUACUGUUGGGGACCUUCGGCAUCCGAAGGUCCUCAAAAACGGGAUUUAACAGUAUUUCUGGAAGUAUAAUGUGUGAGCAGGUACCUUCGGACUCAAGUCGGUAUCACGGCAGGAGAAGACCCGGAUAAUACGAAGGUCUUGAUACAACGCCGAAGAUGUUAGCAGGAAAGCUUCGGCAUGGUUGCAGAAAAUAAAACCGACUUAAAGAUGAAAAGGCUAUUCAGACCUCGAUAGAUUAUAUAGAAUUAUUAUCAAAUGUAAAGGGCAUGAAUGUAAUUUUGUAUGGGCUGUGUCCCGUGCCUAUAAAUAGGUGAACAGAACCCCCGUACUGUUCACGCUGACUUGGCAUUCGCUUUUUGCGUCACGCUUGUACUGUCAUCUCCUUCCGAUUGAAGGUACACUUGUAAUUCAACGAUAUUUCUAUUUAUGUCUGAUAAUAAUAUAUAAUUGUUCAUAUUGUCUUUUAUAUUCUUUACAUUUCAUUCUUCGUCAUUGCUUAAUGAAUUUAUGAAGGUACGUCCUUCAUAACCUUCGUCCGUAAACCAUUAUAUCCUAAGGGAAAUAAUGUUUCGGAGGGCGAAGGACUUUAACGAUUAACAUUUUCUAUGUUGCCUUGUUCUUAACUCAUAGCACUUGAGAACAAGUCCCCAACACUGUGCCUCAUACAUGCUCUUUGGUAGAACGUGAUCCUCCGGAAGCAGGCUACCAAUAACUGUCAACAAGCAAUCGAAUGCGUCUUGACUCAUGUUAUACUGCGACUUGAACGCUAUUACAUGCCCAAUGGCAUCCAGUUGAGAAACCUUUGUCUGGCUGUGAAGGGGCUUCUGUGCCACGUCAAACAUGUCGUAGAACGCCUUUGCAAUCGGCUCUAGCUCGUCCUCCAUACAUCCUCCGACGAACUAUGCCUCAUGAUAGUCGUUCAACAUAUCUGCUACCCCCGCAUCAGCAUCAUAAUCCUCGACGUGUUGUCUCUGAAAGGGAAAUAAGCUUACACCUUUUCCUAAAUGAUUUUGGUGGUUGAAUUGCCCAACACAAAUAAUUGGACUAACUAGUUUGCUCUAGGUUAUAAGUUCUAUAGGUGCCAAAGGUUCAACACAUACCAAUAAAAAGUCCAAGAAAGGGUUCAAAUAAAAAGAGCAAAAGACAACCGAAGGCUGCCCUGGUCUGGCGCACUGGACUGUCCGAUGUGCCACCGGACAGUGUCCGGUGCACCAGAGAGAUUCACUCCAAACUUGCCACCUUCGGGAAUUUGGGAAGCCACUCCGCUAUAAUUCACCGGACUGUCCGGUGUGCCAAGCGGAGCAACGGUCGCCAACGCAAUGGUCGAGUUCAACGGUCGGCUGACAACGCUACAGUGCGCGGACUACGCGCGUAGAAGUCAGAGAAGGCGCAGAUGGCGCACCGGACAGUGAAGAGGACCUGUCUGGUGCACCAUCGGACUGUCCGGUGGCCCACAUGUCAGAAACUCCAACGGUCGAACCCUAACGGUUGGGUGACGUGGCUGGCGCACCGGACAGUGUCCGGUGGCGCACCGGACUGUCCGGUGCGCCCAUCGACAGCAGAGUUCCCCAACGACCACUUUGGUGGUUGGGGCUAUAAAUACCCCCCAACCACCACACUUCGAUGCAUCCAAGUUUUCAGCCAUCAAACCUCAUACAAGAGCUCUAGACUUCAUUCCAAGACACAAACAAAGAGAUCAAAUCCUCUCCCAAGUCUGGAAUCACUCCAAACAAAUUAGUGACUAGAGAGAGAGAGACUUUUGUGUUCUUUUAAGCUCUUGUGCUUGGAUCGCUUUUCUUCUUCCUCCUUUCUUGUUCUCAACUCAAUUGUAAUCAAAGCAAGAGACACCAAGUUGUGGUGGUCCUUGUAGUGGACUAAGUGUCCCGUUUGAUUGAAGAGAAAAGCUCACUCGGUCUAGGUGACCGUUUGAGAGAGGGAAAGGGUUGAAAGAGACCCGAUCUUUGUGACCACCUCAACGGGGAGUAGGUUUGCAAGAACCGAACCUCGGUAAAACAAAUCACCGUGUUCAUCUGUUUUAUUUCUUUGUUGAUUUGUUUUCCCUUUCUUUCGGACUUGAUUAUAUUUCUAACGCUAACCCUUGCUUGUAGUUGUGCUUAAACUUUAUAAAUUUCAGAUUUGCCUAUUCACCCCCCUCUAGGCGACUUUCAAUUGGUAUCAGAGCCCGGUACUUCAUUAGAGCCUAACCACUCGAUGUCAUGUCGGGAGCUCACGCCAAGAAGGAGAUGGUGACCGGCGAGAAGCCCGCCACAAGCCACGGGAAGGCUCCAUCGGGAGAGUCCGGCAACAAAAGGGAGGAAUCACCUCCCCACGUCAAGUCGCACCGGAGUGGUGACCAGAAGAAGAAAAUGAAGAAAGUGUUCUACUGUGAGACCGAUUCUUCGUCGCCAUCCACCUCCACGUCCGACGCGCCGUCCGUCACUUCUAAGCGCCAUGAGCGCAAGAAGUUUAGUAAGAUCUCCUUACGCUAUCCUCGUAUUUCCAAAUGCACUCCUUUACUUUCCGUCCCACUAGGCAAACCACCGGUUUUUGACGGUGAACAUUAUUGUAUGUGGAGUGAUAAAAUGAGGCACCAUCUAACCUCACUCCACGCUAGUAUUUGGGACAUUGUUGAGUUUGGUGCGCAGGAACCAUCCGUGGGGGAUGAAGGCUAUGAUUCGGAUGAGGUAGCCCAAAUCCAGCACUUCAACUCCCAAGCCACCACUAUACUCCUCGCCUCUCUAAGUCGAGAGGAGUAUAAUAAGGUGCAAGGGUUGAAGAGCGCCAAAGAGAUUUGGGACGUACUAAAGACCACACACGAAGGAGACGAGGUGACCAAGAUCACCAAGAGCGAAACGAUCGAGGGGGAGCUCGGUCGCUUCAUGCUUCAUCAAGGGGAGGAGCCACAAGCAAUGUACAACCGGCUCUAGACCUUGGUGAACCAAGUGCGCAACCUCAGGAGCACCAAAUGGGAUGACCAUGAAAUGGUCAAGGUUAUUCUAAGAUCACUUAUAUUUCUUAAUCCUACACAAGUUCAAUUAAUUCGUGGUGAUCCUAGAUACAAGAUAAUGUCUCCCGAGGAGGUUAUAGGAAAAUUUGUGAGCUUUGAAUUGAUGAUCAAAGGCUCCAAGAAAAUCAUCGAGCAAGGCGCCUCCUCCACACCCGAAAUGCAACUCGUCGCAUUCAAGGCAACAGAGGAGAAGAAAGAAGAGUCUACUUCAAGUAGACUUCCCAUCGACGCCUCCAAGCUCGACAACGAGGAAAUGGCGCUCAUCAUCAGGAGCUUUCGCCAAAUCCUCAAGCAAAGGAGGGGGAAGGACUACAAGCCCCGCUCCAAGAAAGUUUGCUACAAGUGUGGUAAGCCCGGACAUUUCAUUGCUAAAUGUCCAUUAUCAAGUGAUAGUGACAGGGGCGAUGACAAGAAGGGGAGAAGGAAGGAGAAGAAGAAAUAUUACAAGAAGAAGGGCGGCGAUGCCCAUGUAUGCCACGAGUGGGACUCCGAUGAGAGCUCCACCGACUCCUCCUCCGACGAGAACGCCGCAAACAUCGCCAUCAACAAGGGUCUUCUCCUUCCCAACGUCGAUCACAAGUGCCUCAUGGCAAAGGACGACAAAAAGAAGAAGGUAAAAUCUAGAGCUUCCACUAAAUAUGCAACAUCUAGUGAUGAGGCUAGCUCUAGUGAUGAUGAGGAUGAUUUGAUCACCCUUUUUGCCAACUUAAACAUUCAACAAAAAGACAAAUUGAAUGAAUCGAUUAGUGUUAUUCAUGAGAAGGAUGAACUCUUGGAUAGCCAAGAGGACUUCCUUAUUAAAGAAAAUAAGAAGCAUGUUAAAGUUAAAAAUGCUUAUGCUCAGGAGAUAGAAAAAUGUGAAAAAUUAACUAGUGAUCUAAGCACUUGCCAUGACACUAUUUUCAACCUUAGAUUUGAAAAUGACAAAUUGAUUGCUAAGGUUGAGAAAUUAAAUGUUAGUGAUGAUUCUCUUGUCAACCUUAGAAAUGAUAAUGCUAAUUUGAUUGCUAAGGUUGACAAAUUGAAUGCAUCUCUCUCUAGCCUUAAAAUUGAGAAUGAAAAAUUAAUUGCUAAGGCUAAAGAUUUAAAUGUUUGCAAUGUUUCUAUUUCCAAUCUUAGAGAUGAGAACACUAUUUUACAUGCUAAGAUUGUUGAAUUAAAUACUUGCAAACCCUCAACAUCUACCGUUGAACAUGUUACUAUUUGCACUAGAUGUAGAGAUGUUAAUAUUGAUGCUAUUCAUGAUCACAUUGCUAUGAUUAAACAACAAAAUGAUCAUAUAGCAAAAUUAGAUGCUAAAAUUGCCGAGCAUGAAUUAGAGAAUGAAAAAUUUAAAUUUGCUCGUAAUAUGCUUUAUGGUGGGAGACGCCCUGGCAUUAAGGAUGGCAUUGGCUUCCAACAGGGAGGCGAUGUCAAACUCAAUGCCCCUAAGAAAUUGUCCAACUUUGUUAAGGGCAAGGCUCCCAUGGUUUAGGAUAACGAGGGUUACAUUUUAUACCCUGACGGUUAUCCCGAACAUAAAAUUAGGAGAAUUCACUCUAGGAAGUCUCACUCUGGCUCUCAUCAUGCUUUUAUGAAUAAGAGUGAGGCAUCUAGUUCUAGGAAAUCCACCCAUGCUAAAUUGCCUAAGAAGAAAACUCCUAUAGCAUCAAACGAACCUAAUUUUUCAUUUAAGACUUUUGAUGCUUCUUAUGUGCUCACUAACAAAUCAGGCAAAAUAGUUGCCAAAUAUGUUGGGGCUAAACACAAGGGAUCAAAGACUUGUGUUUGGGUACCCAAGGUGCUUGUUUCUAAUGUGAAAGGACCCAAGACCAUUUGGGUACCUAAGAACAAGGCCUAAACUUGUUUUGUAGGUUUAUGCAUGCGGGGGCUCAAGUUUGAUCAUCGAUAGCGGGUGCACAAACCACAUGACUGGGGAGAAAAUAAUGUUCUCCUCCUAUGAGAAAAAUCAUGAUCCCCAAAGAGCUAUCACAUUCGGGGAUGGAAAUCAAGGUUUGGUCAAAGGACUUGGUAAAAUUGCUAUAUCCCCUGACCAUUCUAUUUCCAAUGUUUUUCUUGUAGAUUCUUUAGAUUACAACUUGCUUUCUGUUUCUCAAUUAUGCAAAAUGGGUUACAACUGUCUUUUUACGGAUAUAGGUGUUACUGUCUUUAGAAGAAGUGAUGAUUCUGUAGCAUUUAAGGGAGUGUUAGAGGGUUAGCUAUACUUAGUUGAUUUUAAUAGAGCUGAACUCGACACUUGCUUAAUUGCUAAGACUAACAUGGGUUGGCUCUGGCAUCGCCGACUUGCCCACGUUUAAAUGAAGAAUCUCCACAAACUUCUAAAGGGAGAACACAUUUUGGGACUAACAAAUGUUCAUUUUGAGAAAGACAGGGUUUGUAGCGCAUGUCAAGCAGGGGAAGCAAGUUGGUGUUCAUCAUCCACACAAGAACAUAAUGACGACCGACAGACCGCUUGAGCUACUCCACAUGGACCUAUUCGGCCCGAUAGCUUAUAUAAGCAUCAACGGGAGUAAGUAUUGUCUUGUAAUUGUGGAUGAUUAUUCUCGCUUCACUUGGGUGUUAUUUUUGCAGGAAAAAUCUCAAACCCAAGAGACCUUAAAGGGAUUCUUGAGAUGGGCUCAAAAUGAGUUCGGCUUAAGGAUCAAAAAGAUAAGAAGCGACAACGGGACGGAGUUCAAGAACUCUCAAAUAGAAGGCUUCCUUGAGGAUGAGGGCAUCAAGCAUGAGUUCUCUUCUCCCUACACACCACAACAAAAUGGUGUAGUGGAGAGGAAGAAUAGAACUCUACUUGACAUGGCGAGGACCAUGCUUGAUGAGUACAAGACUUCGGACCGGUUUUGGGCGGAAGCAGUCAACACCGCUUGCUACGCCAUCAACCGUCUCUACCUUUGCCGAAUACUCAAGAAGACAUCGUAUGAACUACUCACCGGUAAAAAGCCCAAUGUUUCAUAUUUUAGAGUCUUUGGUAGCAAAUGCUUUAUUCUUGUUAAAAGAGGUAGAAAAUCUAAAUUUGCUCCUAAGGCUGUAGAAGGCUUUUUACUUGGUUAUGAUUCAAACACAAGGGCAUAUAGAGUCUUUAACAAGUCCUCUGGACUAGUUGAGGUUACUUGUGACAUUGUGUUUGAUGAGACUAACGGCUCUCAAGUAGAGCAAGUUGAUCUUGAUGAGCUAGAUGAUGAAGAGGCUCCAUGCGUCGCGCUAAGGAACAUGUCCAUUGGGGAUGUGUGUCCUAAGGAAUCCGAAGAGCCUCCACAAGCACAAGAUCAACCAUCUUCCUCCAUGCAAGCAUCUCCACCAACUCAAGAUGAGGAUCAAGCUCAAGAGGAUGAAAAUGAAGAUCAAGAAGAUGAGCCACCUCAAGAGGAGGGCAAUGAUCAAGGGGGAGAUGCCAAUGAUCAAGACAAGGAAGAUGACGACAGUCCAAGACCACCACACCCAAGAGUCCACCAAGCAAUACAAAGAGAUCACCCCGUGAACUCCAUCCUCGGCGAUAUUCAUAAGGGGGUAACCACUCGAUCUCGUGUUGCUCAUUUUUGUGAACAUUACACCUUUGUAUCUUCUAUUGAGCCAUAUAGGGUGGAAGACACAUUAAGGGAUUCAGAUUGGGUGUUGGCGAUGCAAGAGGAACUCAACAACUUCACGAGGAAUGAGGUAUGACAUUUAGUUCCACGCCCUAAUCAAAAUGUUGUAGGAACCAAGUGGGUCUUCCGCAACAAGCAAGAUGAGCAUGGUGUGGUGACAAGGAACAAAGCCCGACUUGUGGCCAAGGGAUAAUCACAAGUCGAAGGUUUGGAUUUCGGUGAAACCUAUGCACCCGUAGCUAGGCUUGAGUCAAUUUGUAUAUUACUUGCCUAUGCUACUUACCAUGGCUUCAAGCUUUAUCAAAUGGACGUGAAAAGUGCCUUCCUCAAUGGACCAAUCAAGGAAGAAGUCUAUGUUGAGCAACCUCCCGACUUUGAAGAUAGUGAGUACCCUAACCAUGUGUAUAAACUCUCUAAGGCGCUUUAUGGGCUCAAGCAAGCCCCAAGAUCAUGGUAUGAAUGCCUAAGAGAUUUUCUUAUCGCUAAUGGCUUCAAAGUCGGAAAAGCCGAUCCUACUCUCUUUACUAAAACAAUUGCAAAUGAUUUGUUUGUAUGCCAAAUUUAUGUUGAUGAUAUUAUAUUUGGGUCUACUAACAAAUCUACAUUUGAAGAGUUUAGUAGAUAAUGGUACAAAAAUUCGAGAUGUCUAUGAUGGGGGAGUUGAAGUAUUUCUUAGGAUUUCAAGUGAAGCAACUCCAAGAGGGCAUCUUCAUCAGUCAAACGAAGUACAUUCAAGACAUACUCACCAAGUUUGGGAUGAAGGAUGCCAAGCCUAUCAAGACACCCAUGGGAACCAAUGGGCAUCUUGACCUCGACACGAGAGGUAAAUCCAUAGAUCAAAAGGUAUACCGGUCGAUGAUAGGAUCUUUACUCUAUUUAUGUGCAUCUCGACCGGAUAUUAUGCUUUUCAUAUGCAUGUGUGCAAGAUUCCAAGCCGAUCCUAAGGAAGUUCACCUUAGGGUCGUGAAAUGAAUCUUGAGAUAUUUAGUUCAUACUCCUAAGUUUGGCCUUUGGUACCCCAGGGGAUCCACAUUUGAUUUAAUAGGAUAUUUAGAUGCUGAUUGGGCAGGGUGUAAAAUUGAUAGAAAGAGCACAUCAGGGACUUGUUAGUUCUUGGGAAGAUCCCUGGUGUCAUAGGCUUCAAAGAAGCAAAAUUUUGUAUCUCUUUCUACCACCGAAGCCGAGUACAUUACCGCAGGCCAUUGUUGCGCGCAAUUGCUUUGGAUGAGGCAAACCCUUAGGGACUAUGGUUACAAAUUAACCAAAGUUCCGCUCCUAUGUGAUAAUGAGAGUGCAAUCCACAUGGUGGAUAAUCCCGUUGAGCACAACCGCACUAAGCACAUAGCCAUUCGGUAUCACUUUUUGAGGGAUCACCAACAAAAGGGGGAUAUCGAGAUUGUUUAUAUUAACACCAAAGAACAAUUAGCCGAUAUCUUUACCAAUGUUGGGGACUUGUUCUCAAAUGCUAUGAGUUAAGAACAAGGCAACACAAGAAAUGUUAAACGUUAAUGCCCUUCGUCCUUCGAGACAUUAUUUCCCUUAGGAUAUAAUGAUCUUCAGACGAAGGUCAUGAAGGACAUACCUUCAUCAUUGCAAUAUACGAUAAUAAAAGGAGAAUCAUAUAGAAUGUAAGAGACAACAUGAAUAAGUAUGUAAUAUUAUCAGCACAUUUCUAUUUUAUUAUCAUGGACAAAUAGAAAUGAUAUCAAAUUACAAAUGUACCUUCAGCUUGAUGGAAGGUAAAAGUACAAGUGUGACGCACGAUCAAAUACAAGUCAGCGUGAACAGUACGGGAGCACUGUUCAUCUAUUUAUAGGCACGGGACACAGCCCAUGUAAAAUUACACCCAUGCCUUUUACAUUUGCUAAUGACUCUAUAGUGAUCCAUCGAGGUCUAAAUGACCUUUUCCCUUUUAAGUCGGUUCCCUUUUCCGCUGUUAUGCCAAAGCUCCCUUGCGCGUAGCUUCGGCGCUACGUCAACCUUCGUAUUCUUUGUGCUUCUCACACUGUGGUUCUGAUCCGAGUCCGAAGGUACCUGUUCAUGUAUCAUACUCCAGAAAUAAUGUUAAAUCAUGUUUUUGAAGACCUUCGGAAGACGAAGGCCCCCAACAGUAGCCCCUCGCAAUAUUAAUUUGUUAGAAUAACGAAUUCAAAUUGCGAUAUGGACGAAGGCCUUAAGCCAAAAUUCUGAAAAAACACCUUCCCUUUGCUAGAAUAGCAACAGUCGAUGACAGACGGGGCCCUCCAAUUUGGAACGCACUGGGCGUAUAAAUAGGAACUCACCCCGAGCACAUUUGGUACGCUAUCUGCCGCCUGCUUUGCUUGCUCAAUUUUUUAGCUCUUGCCUACCAACGCUUGCUUGGUUUUUUAGACUUUCUAAGCUUCGGCUUUAAGGACACAUUUUCGCCAUUUCCGAAGAGAAGAUGUCUCAAGACAAAAAAGUUGUUGCUGAGACGAAGCUGAGCGAAGAGGAGAAGCUCCAUGAGGAGAAGACUGCUGGAUUUGUUGAAUCAAUAGCAAAGAAAAAUACAGAAAAGAUUACUAAGGAGAUUCUAGAAGGCUUAUCUGAAGAUACUGAUGACAGCGACAGUUAUGAUGCGGAAAGCGGAGGCGAAGACUCCGAAGAUCGGCCCUGGCGACCAAGCAUGCAGUCUUCGGGAAAUCAACCAUCAAACAGAGUCAUCUUGAUAAUAUGAGAGGAAGGUAUUUUCGAUAUUAUUUUUUUGUUCUUAUAUUAACCCAUUCAUUCUUUUCAUAUAGGGUUUAAUACUUAGCAACGCCUUAAGGGCGCAAAAGAAUGUCGAAGACGAGAGUUGCACUAUUGCUCUCAACAACCUUCAAACAGAGGUUAUCAAGCUGAGGAACGAAGCUUUGGAAAAAGAAAAAAUUCUACUUACAUUGGUGGACAAAGUAAAGGGGGAUGAAGCUAACUUCAAGGCUCAAUCUGAAAUCCAAAGGAAUGAGAUUGAAAACCUUCAAAAACAACUGGCCGAAGCCAAAUUGAAAUGCGCUAUUGCCGAAGCUGACCGAGUUGCCAGUGAGUACUAGAAAAAUUAUCUUGAAAAACAGUUGCAGAGCUUCGCUCAUCAAAAGAAAGAUGUUUUGAAAAAUCUGUGGAAUGCGUGAAAAAGAUAAAAACUAGCUUUGCCAACGUUGGCGCAUAUUCAAGCGAAGAUAACUUCAUACGGGGCGACCCCGAAGGCGUAAUCGAGUGGAUCAGCGGUGAGGCCGAAGCCUUUGAAGAGAUUUUGAGUGACCGCGGGGACGUCUGUGCCUUCUCUGGUGCGAGAGGAAUUGCAGCUAUUUUGGAGAAAGCAGGGUGCGAACAUGUUAAAACUUUGGCCCAGGCCGAAGCUGCCUUCUCCACCGAUGAUAUAAAGGACCCCUCGGCCGAAGCAAACUCAAUAGGUGGAAAAAAUUUCACUGAUAUCUGGGAAAACGGUGGCCGAGGGAUGGCCCAUGAAAUUAUAAAGAAAAACGAAAAAGAUAUUCACGACACUCGAGAGUCAAUAAAAGAAGCUGAAAAGGCUGCGGAGCUUGAGAGACGAAUAUGUAUUACUUAAUGGUUUUUAACUUUGUUGUUUAUUUUUGUGACUUUGAACUGAUUUAUGUUUUCUACCUUAGCUGAACUAUCUCCUCCCCCAGCGCCCUUAGAGUCAUUGGCCGACCCAGAGGCAAAGGAAUCAACAGAACUUAUUAACAUGGCCGAAACUAUUGUAGACGAAGUCGUUACCCAACUGCUGACCGAAUUUGCACAUAAAGUUUUGAAGGAAGAAGAGUAGCUAUUGUAAAAACAUUGCUAGAAUAUUAAUGUAACAUUUGCCGGACUAUGCUUGUAAUAUUUGGUGCUCCUAGGUUUUGAAUGUAAUAUAUGAAUGGUUUUGUAAUUCAUUUCUUUGCGAUGCAUGAAACUUUUAUGUACAUACCGUUUUUGAGCCUUCGGCGAAAAAACACCUUCCCUUCUUUUCAUGUUCGUAAAGAAGAGCUUUUAUGCUUCGUAAAAAAUCCUCCAAUCGUCGCAAAAACAUUAAUGCUUCGUCAACAACAGAUUUUUCCUCCACAUCAGAGCUGAUGAAGCUGUAUUUCUUCAAAACUUAUUUUGUGCCUUAGCACAAUUUCACUUUUUUCGAAGCAUUCUUCGAAGGUCAACAUUGUAUCCCCUUCUUGUGCCAUUGAUGCAAUAUGAUGUAUGAUGUUAUGUUAUGUGAAAUGAUGUGAUGAUGUUAUGUUAUGCAAAAUGAUGUUUAUGCCGAAGACACACACUCACACCCCCAUAGUGGAAUACACAAUCUCUUUGCCGCUUAUUUUUCGGCUUCACCGCUUAUUUUUCGGUGUAUCAGCGCUGACUUUUCACUGUAAGUUCUGCAUUCCCUUAGGAACGUCUUUUGAACUUCUUCACCUUCUAUUUCGGCGGUAUUCGCGUUGACUUUUCGCGCUUCGCCUUAUAUUUCGGCGGUAUUUGGCUCUGCAUUCCCUUUGGAAUGACUUUUGAGCAGAAAACUUACACUGCGCUCCCUUAGGAACGACUUUUUGUAGCUUCGGCAAACUUACGCUGCGUUCCUUAGAACGACUUUUUUGUGGCUUCGGUGAUACUUGUAAUGUGAUUUUUAGCCCCGCGUUCCCUUAGGAACGACUUUUGUGCUUCAGUGACUUUUUGAACUUCGUGAGUCUGUGGAGAAGAUAUAUUUCACUAUGGCAAGAACGAAGUUAUUACAAGAAAUCAAGAGAGCUAGGUUUUCAAUAAUUGUUCCUUAUUAAAAAGGAAGUGAUAAUGAAUGUAAAAACUGCUUCAGGGGUAGGAUAUCUCUCAAUAGAUAUGCUUCGAUUCUAGCACAGUACUGUUGGCUGUGCGAGCUUCGGACUCCUCCCUGAAAUCUCGUUGCUGAUGGGUCUGUUGGCUCCCUUCUGGCUGCUGGCCUCGUGAAUAUGCAGGUUGUAGUGGUGGCAGAGGUGGAGGCUGUGGCCAAGAUGCAUGUGGCUGGCUAGCCGAAGCAACAGAAGCUGCAGGAUGGUUACCCACAUACUCUGGUAUGUAGGGUGAGUGAUACGAAGCAGUGUGCAUGACCUGCUUCGGCUGGUUCUGCUGAGCUGCGGCUUCUGCUAAUUCCUUUUGUUUCUGAAUGGUGACAUGGCACAUCCUUGUAGUAUGGCCCUUGUCCUCACCACAGAAUAAGCAAUUUUCCUAGGUUGAUCCCCAAACCUUCCUCCGAAGCCCCUGGCACCUCUGCCUCUUGGAGUUGGCGGCCGAAAAUAGGUUUGUUGCUGCCCCGAAACUUGCGAGGAAUAUUGUGGCUUCUGUUGCUGACUUCCUCUGUCGUCAUUCUGGGUGGAGUGGAUUGAUCUGACAUGCCUUGGGUGGAUUCUUCCUCCGAAGCCCCUGGUCAUCUCAGAGAACCUGUAGGCUUCCUCCCUUCUUUGGCGAAAGUCAUUGUCAGCCCGGAUGUAUUCAUCCAUCUUUUGAAGCAGCUUCUCCAAAGUCUGUGGAGGCUUUCUAGCAAAAUACUGGGCAGUAGGUCCUGGAUGAAGCCCCUUGAUCAUGGCCUCAAUGACAAUUUCAUUGGGCACAGUAGGCACUUGUGCUCUCAGACGCAAGAACCUUCAGACGUAUGCCUGGAGAUACUCCUCAUGAUCUUGCGUGCAUUGAAACAGAGCCUGAGCUGUGACUGGCUUCGUCUGAAAGCCCUGGAAACUUGUCACCAGCAUGUCCUUGAGCUUCUGCCAUGAAGUGAUGGUCCCUGGCCGAAGAGAAGAAUACCACGUUUGAGCCACAUUCUUAACUGCCAUGACGAAGGACUUGGCCAUGACAGCUGCAUUGCCUCCGUAUGAAGAUAUAGUUGCUUCAUAACUCAUCAAAAACUGCUUCGGGUCUGAAUGCCCAUCAUACAUUGGAAGCUGAGGUGGCUUGUAUGAUGGGGGCCACGGGAUAGCCUGCAGUUCUGCUGCCAAGGGAGAAGCAUCAUCAAAAGUAAAGGUAUCAUGAUUAAAAUCAUCAUACCAUCCAUCGUCGUUGAACAAGCCCUCUUGAUGAAGCUCCCUGUGUUGGGGCCUUCGAUCUUGCUCGUCUUGAGCAAGGUGGCGUACUUCUUCAGUGGCUUCGUCAAUCUGCCUUUGAAGGUCAGCUUGUCGGGCCAUCUUCUCCUUCUUCUUUUGCACUUGCUGAUGAAGCAUCUCCAUGUUUCUGAUUUCUUGGUCCAACUCGUCCACCUGGGGUGUUGGACUAGUGGCCUUCCUCUUCUGGCUUCGGGCCUCUCGAAGAGAAAGGGUCUCCUGAUUUGGGUCCAGUGGCUGCAGAGCGGCAGCCCCUAGCGCUGAAACUUUCUUCGGUGGCAUGACGAAGGUCAAUGCUUGCCGAAGGUGGUCGAAAAGAGUUCACCCCACGGUGGGCGCCAAUGUUGGGGACUUGUUCUCAAAUGCUAUGAGUUAGGAACAAGGCAACAUAAGAAAUGUUAAACGUUAAUGCCCUUCGUCCUUCGAGACAUUAUUUCCCUUAGGAUAUAAUGAUCUUCAGACGAAGGUCAUGAAGGACAUACCUUCAUCAUUGCAAUAUACGAUAAUAAAAGGAGAAUCAUAUAGAAUGUAAGAGACAACAUGAAUAAGUAUGUAAUAUUAUCAGCACAUUUCUAUUUUAUUAUCAUGGACAAAUAGAAAUGAUAUCAAAUUACAAAUGUACCUUCAGCUUGAUGGAAGGUAAAAGUACAAGUGUGACACACGAUCAAAUACAAGUCAGCGUGAACAGUACGGGAGCACUGUUCAUCUAUUUAUAGGCACGGGACACAGCCCAUGUAAAAUUACACCCAUGCCCUUUACAUUUGCUAAUGACUCUAUAGUGAUCCAUCGAGGUCUAAAUGGCCUUUUCCCUUUUAAGUCAGUUCCCUUUUCCGCUGUUAUGCCGAAGCUCCCUUGUGCGUAGCUUCAGCGCUACGUCAACCUUCGUAUUCUUUGUGCUUCUCACACUGUGGUUCUGAUCCGAGUCCGAAGGUACCUGUUCAUGUAUCAUACUCCAGAAACAUUGUUAAAUCAUGUUUUUGAGGACCUUCGGAAGACGAAGGCCCCCGACAACCAAGCCACUAGAUGAGAAAACUUUUACCAAUCUUAGGCAUGAGCUAAACAUUCUAGAUUCUAGGAAUUUUGAUUGAUAUUUUGCACACAUAGCUUAUUUCAAUACCUUUGAUCAUAUCUCUUUCAUGUGCUAUGACUAAUGUGGUUUUCAAGUAUAUUUCAUGCUAAGUCAUAGAUUGAAAGGAAAAUGGAGUCUUCGGCGAAGAAAAGGCUUCCACUCCAUCGAAUUAUUCAUCCUUCGCCGACACUCCACAUCGCUCUCCAAUUUGGUAUAAUCUUCACUCCUACAUUAUUUACCAAAGGGGGAGAAAGUUUGAAAAAGGGCUUAUAUUUUCACUCACAAGUAUCCGUUUUUGGCGAUUCAUGCCAAAGGGGGAGAAAGUAUUAGCCCAAAGCAAAAGGACCGCACCACCACCAAUUUCAAAAAUGAAGUCUUUUAAAUUUGUACUAAAAGAAGGUUUUUCAAUUGGUAUCUUAUUUUUGAUAGAAUUUUCAAAUUGGUAUAACCCAUUUCAAAAUUAAUAUCUAAAACUCUCUUGAACAAUAAGAGGAGAAUUUCAUUAAGGGGGAGUUUUGUUUAGUCAAAGGAAAAGCAUUUGAAACAGGGGGAGAAAAUUUCAAAUCUUAAAAAUGCUUCUCAAAAUCUUACUCAUUUACCUUUGACUACUUGCAAAAAGACUUUGAAAAGAAUUUCCAAAAGAGUUUGCAAAAACAAAACAAGUGCUGCAAGCGUGGUCCAAAAUGUUAAAAUAGAAGAAAGCAUCCAUGCAUAUCUUAUAAAAUGUAUAUUGGUUUAAUUCCAAGUAACCUUUGCACUUUCAUUAUGCAAACUAGUUCAAUUCUGCAAUUAUAUAUUUGCUUUGGUUUGUGUUGGCAUCAAUCAUCAAAAAGGGGGAGAUUGAAAGGGAAAUAGGCUUACACCUUUUCCUAAAUGGUUUUGGUGGUUGAAUUGCCCAACGCAAAUAAUUGGACUAACUAGUUUGCUCUAGAUUAUAAGUUCUACAUGUGCCAGAGGUUCAACACAAACCAAUAAAAAGUCCAAGAAAGGGUUCAAAUAAAAAGAGCAAAAGACAACCGAAUGCUGCCCUGGUCUGGCGCACCGGACAGUGUCCGGUGCACCAGGGAGAUUCACUCCAAACUUGCCACCUUUGGGAAUUUGGGAAGCCACUCCGCUAUAAUUCACCGGACUGUCCGGUGUAGCACCGGACUGUCCAGUGUGCCAAGCGGAGCAACGGUCGUUAGCGCAACGGUCGAGUUGAACGGUCGGCUCACAACGCUACAGUGCGCGUACUGCGCGCGCAGAAGUUAGAGCAGGUGCAGAUGGCGCAUCGGACAGUGAACAGGACCUGUCCGGUGCACCACCGGACUAUCCGGUGGCCCACAUGUCAGAAGCUCCAACGGUCGAACCCUAACGGUUGGGUGACGUGGCUGGCGCACCGGACAGUGGCCGGUGGCGCACCGGACUGUCCGGUGCGCCCAUCGACAGUAGAGUUCCCCAACGGCCACUUUGGUGGUUGGGGCUAUAAAUACCCCCCAACCACCACACUUCAAUGCAUCCAAGUUUUCAGCCAUCAAACCUCAUACAAGAGCUCUAUACUUCAUUCCAAGACACAAACAAAGAGAUCAAAUCCUCUCCCAAGUCCGGAAUCACUUCAAACAAAUUAGUGACUAGAGAGAGAGACUUUUGUGUUCUUUUGAGCUCUUGCGCUUGGAUCGCUUUUCUUCUUCCUCCUUUCUUGUUCUCAACUCAAUUGUAAUCAAAGCAAGAGACACCAAGUUGUGGUGGUCCUUGUAGUGGACUAAGUGUCCUGUUUGAUUGAAGAGAAAAGCUCACUCAGUCUAGGUGACCGUUUGAGAGAGGGAAAGGGUUGAAAGAGACCCGGUCUUUGUGACCACCUCAACGGGGAGUAGGUUUGCAAGAACCGAACCUCGGUAAAACAAAUCAUCGUGUUCAUUCGUUUUAUUUCUUUGUUGAUUUGUUUUCCCUCUCUUUCGGACUCGAUUAUAUUUUUAACGCUAACCCCGACUUGUUGUUGUGCUUAAACUUUAUAAAUUUCAGAUUUGCCUAUUCACCCCCCCUUUAGGUGACUUUUAGUCUCAACACCUCCUCUCUCGUACGAUGCGCUUUACCAUGGAAGAUCCACCGAGUAUAGUCUGGCGUAAAUCUGAUCUUCCAAAUAUGUUCUACCAUGGCCUUCUUUGAUUUUCUUUUCCGGUUGGCACAUUUGCUGCACGGGCAUGGGACUAGACUCGCUCCUUUAGCAGCUUUGCCAUAUGCCCGUUCCACAAAAGCAUCGGUCUUUCUAAUCCAUUCAGGGGUGACAUCAUUCCUACUUACACGGCAUGUGUACAUCCACUCACGGUCUUCCAUCCUCUAACAUAUGUAACCGAGUAUAGUUUAAUAUAAACAUGUAAUGCAUGUACGCUAUGUUCCUACCUUAUAAUAGGUGAGUAUAGUUCUUAAUCUCACUCGCGGUUGCGUAGACGAAGUUAGUUUCCAUGCUCUACUUCGAUCCAAGACAGAGUUCCGGCAGCACCUCCCCGUUGUUCUCCGGAUACACGCCCUAGCAGGUAGAAUGUACUGUCCGGAGAUCAACAUGGAGGUGAAACCGAAACUCUGUCUCGGACCGGAGUAGAGCAUGGAAACUAAUACCAGGGCGACGGUGGAGUAGGGAUAGCGGGGCUGUGGCGGGUCGGUGCAGUGGCGACGUGUCGCAGUGCAGGUUCUAGUGUGGCGGCAAGGAAUACCUCUGCAAAAAAAAAUUAACACAAGUUUAUCAACAAAAAAAUCGGCAGGACUUCCCCUGCACGAGGAGGUUGCAAAAAACCAGCAAAUAAAACUAACAGCACGAUGGCUGACAUCCACACAUAUACUAGCAAAAAAUAGACUUGCGUGUGUUAUUUACAAUUGUGUUAGUUACACACAAUCUAUUGAUGCCAUAUUUGUUGUGUACUAGCGAUUGGCAAGAAGAAUCAACUUUUAGGCACUAAAACAUCUAGUGGGUUCAAAUUAAAGAACUUCUUCUAUUAAUUACAGAACCACCCCAUCGGCCGACCAGGAUCCAAAUUAAAGAACUUCUUCUUCUAUUAAUUAUAGUAUAUUAUAAUUACCAAGUCUCUUCUUAUAUUUACAUGUUCAUUUGCUUGCUUCUUGCAUAACAUAACGGCGAUCGAUGAUGACCAUCGUUAGUUUUAGUCCUACGUGUAUUUGAUUCAAUCCCUCCAUGUUCAUAGUAUAAAUUCAACCAAACCUAAAUAAGUUUCAGUCAGCUUGAUCUUAAAAUUGCAUCAUACACACACAUACAUAGUCUUACUAGAAGUAAGCAAUUUCUUUUAAACUAAUUUCCAGCCAACAUUGAUGAAUGAACUAGAAUGUGGCUAUAACCGAGACCUGUGUGGGUGGUGCUGGAGAUGGGGACGUUGGGCCGAGGCUCACCGGCGUCGAGGCCUGUCCGAAGAUGGCCGACCGCCAGGCCGGGGACGGGGCUCGUUGGAGAUGGCCGGGUCGAGCGACGGUGGGGACGUCGGAGGCAGGGAGGAUGGCCGGCACGGUGUCCGGAGCCGGAGGGGAUGACCGGAGAGGAGGAUGGUCGGCGCUUGCUCCGAUGGCGUUGGCGGCGAGUGGCGUUGGCGGAGGGGACGACUGGUUAGGGCUAUGUACACAGACUUUGCCGAGUGCCAUAUCACGGGCACUCGGCAAAGAUUUUUUUUAAAUUUAAAAAUAAACUUUGCCGAGUGUCACAGAUCACUGACAGGCACUUGGCAAAGAUUGUUUUAAUUUUUUUAAAAAAACUUUACAGAGUGUCCCACGGCAGGCACUCGACAAAGAAUGCUUUACUGACUGCCUUAUUUUGACACUCGACAAAGAAUUCUUUGCCAAGUGCCCGAUAAAAAGCACUUGGCAAAGCACCGAGCACUCGGCAAAGAGCCGGAUUCCGGUGUGGUUGUUUCAUGGAAGUUGUAAGUAGACCAUCUUAACAAGGUCAACAAUAGAAGUACAACUCACAACAUUAGAUACUGCCAAAGUUAAUGUUGAGAGGCUUCGUGAACUCCUUAUGGAUUUACUAGUAGUUGAAAAACCAAUACUGGUUAUCUAUAUGAGCUAUAAUAAUUAAACAUUGGUAAUCAAAGUGAACAAUUCUUAGGUUAACAUGAAGACUACAAAGCAUGUCAAGAACGGUUGAAACUGUUAAAACACUAAGAAACUCUAGAUUAAUUGUGUUGGACUAUGUCCAUACUUCUAAGAAUUUGGUAUGCCAGUUUAUAGAAGAUUUGUCACAUAAUGUGAUAGAUGGUGCAUCGAGAAAGAUGGACUUGAGACCCACUUAAUGCCAUUCCAUAGUAGUAGCAUUUUCUAUGUGAUUGGAGAUCUCAUGAAGUAAAAUGGUGAAAUAAGCUAGAGAAUGACUGAUGGAGAGACUCCUUAAAUAAAAUCUAGGUAAUUUCAUAUGAACAUUUCUCCUUCGAUGUACGAUAGGCUAACUAAAAUCUUAAUAUGAUUUGAGUGACAUAUCUAAGCAGGGAUGUUAUCUUAUAGAACAUCCUAUAAGGAACACACCUAUAUGACUUUGACUACUAAUCACAGUCUAUGAUAUGUGGGAAAUAUUUUUUUACUCAUGAAAGGCCUCGAAGUUUGACUUAUAUGCUUCAAACCAAUGGAUAACUGAUUGAAUCUGUUUCAGACAGCAGCAUAGUUAACUUCAAAAUUCUAUAUCUCCCAAACUUCUCAACCAAAAAUUAUUAAAUUAUGCUGACAGUAAGAACUUUUAUCCCUCUACAAAAGUCUCCAUAGUUGGAAGAGCCAAUUCGGCCAUUUACUAGAUGAAACCUACCAGUUAACAGACCCGCUCAUUUUUGUCAGGCAAACAAGAACCCUUAUAUAUCAAAGAGUAGUGGAUUUGAAUUUGUCUAAUAUGAAGUUUAUGGGCUUGGAUCAUUUAAAGUAUUUUAUAAUUCUGAAAGACAAGAUUAAACUAACUAUGUAUGAUCCUUUAGCACCGUACAGAUGGUCGAUGGGACAGUUACAUGGUUUAUAUAGAUGGACCUAUCUAUAUUCCUUCAGUGGUUGAGAACAAGGUAAAGGUGUGUCACACUCACGCGUGCGCCGCCUCCGCCGAGACGAGGCAUGGCGUUGCAGGGUGAGGCAUGGCAUGGUGCAGCACGAUCGCAGUCAUGGUCGUGGCACAGUGUAGCACUGUUGUGGAUAGAUAGAUAAACUAUUGUUGUAGUUAGAGUGCAUGAGUUUUUGAAUGCAACACUAGAAUUUUCACAAUUUAACUUAAUUAAGAAGUUAUAUCUUGAUGACACAGAGUUACCUGACCAUUGAUCUCACAUGCCCUUUUAGCUCUCUCGUACUCUAGACUUACCCUGACUAUUUAGGUCUCCUGACUCGCCAAUAUAAACACCAUCCUAUCAUUUGCUGUCGAAUACUUCUGUGUCACAACUCAACUGUCAGAUGAGUACUCCAUUACAGCACUGAGCAGGCCUCCGAAAUGAAUAUCUACUCAGAUGAAGGACGACAAUCGUGUUCUAGGGAAAUAUCAGCGACACAACUCCUUACUUCCUCCGCUUCUUCCUAGUGUUUUUUGUUGUGAUUGAGUCGACAUAGCAACAACACUGCACUAUUACAACCAGUACGACUAUAUCAACUAGCAAUGUCUUCCUUAUAUGUUACUAUUUAUUUUGCUCAUAUUCAUUAUGUUUAAAUCACAUAGGCGCCUUUAUGUUGGCAUCAAAAAAUCAGUAUCAACUUUAUAGAUUAAAAUGAAACUAAAAGUACCUAAAUUUCUAUCGGUGGGGAUCGAGUGAUUCUUUAAACCGAUUAUUACACAAGUUAACCACACUAAAAUUAACAAUGGUGAAUCGUGCCAUGAUUUUUUUCUAGUGGAAAAUAGCCAAACCAAGCAACACAUAUGUGGCUAUCGUUACACAUGUGUAAAGGUAUUGCAUCACACCAUUGUCACCCAUGUAUGUGGACAAUACCGAGAGGAAAAACCACUUAUUUAUUGUAUUUUAUCAAGUUUGUCUUGCUUACGUAUAAAUUAUAACCCAACAAAGUAAUCACUAAAUGUCAAAACCAACUAGAUACCAUGUCAUCUCUACCUUAUCUUACUAAUAUUCUUUUUGCAAAAUCCAAAAUUAAUCUUGCACAAGCACAAGGACUGAGAUGUGUAUAAAUAUCUCUUAAAUUAGUAGCUAAUAUAUCGCACAUAUUAUUGAGACCAACUAGCAACAUAGAAAGCACAAUAGUGUACCAACAAUGGCAGCCAAAAUAUUUUGCCUCCUUAUGCUCCUUGGUCUUUCUGCAAGUGCUGCUACGGCGACCAUUUUCCCGCAAUGCUCGCAAGCUCCUAUAGCUUCCCUUCUUCCCCCGUACCUCUCACCAGCGGUGUCUUCGGUAUGUGAAAACCCAAUUCUUCAACCCUACAGGAUCCAACAGGCAAUCGCAGCUGGCAUCUUACCUUUAUCACCCUUGUUCCUCCAACAAUCAUCAGCCCUAUUACAACAGUUACCUUUGGUGCAUUUAUUGGCACAAAACAUCAGGGCACAACAACUACAACAACUUGUGCUAGCAAACCUUGCUGCCUACUCUCAGCAACAGCAGUUUCUUCCAUUCAACCAACUAGGUUCAUUGAACUCUGCUUCUUAUUUGCAACAACAACAACUACCAUUCAGCCAGCUACCUGCUGCCUACCCCCAGCAAUUUCUUCCAUUCAACCAACUAGCAGCAUUGAACUCUCCUGCUUAUUUACAGCAGCAACAACUACUACCAUUCAGCCAGCUAGCUGGUGUGAGCCCUGCUACCUUCUUGACACAACCACAGUUGUUGCCGUUCUACCAGCACGUUGCGCCUAACGCUGGCACCCUCUUACAACUGCAACAAUUGCUGCCAUUCAACCAACUUGCUUUGACAAACCCAGCAGUGUUCUACCAACAACCCAUCAUUGGUGGUGCCCUCUUUUAGAUUUCUUAUGAGUUAUAGUUCAAUAAUAAAGUUUUUUAUCUGAUGUUUGUGGCUUCCCAGAAAUAAGAAAGUACAUUUCUAGAUUCUUAUGUGCUUCUAGUCUUCAAAUGUGGUUGAUAGUUAUUGUUGGGGACUUGUUCUCAAAUGCUAAGAGUUAAGAACAAGGCAACAUAAAAAUGUUAAAUGCUAAAGUCCUUCGUCCUUCGAAGCAUUAUUUCCCUUAGGAUAUAAUGAAUUUCGGACGAAGGCUAUGAAGGACAUACCUUCAUAAGCACAACGAAUGAUGAAGAAGAAUUCAUAUAAAUUAUGAGAUAUAACAUAAACAUUUAAACAUUAUUAUUAACUCAUUUCUAUUGACUUGUCAGGGAAAAAUAGAAAUGAUAAUAAAUUACAAAUAUACCUUCGGCUUGAGAGAAGGUAAAGGUACAAGCGUGAGGCAAAAGCAAAUGCCAAGUCAGCGUGAACAGUACGGGAACACUGUUCAUCUAUUUAUAGGCACGGGACGCAGCCCAUGCAAAAUUACAUCCAGGCCCUUUGCUUUUGACAAUAACUCUAUAGUAAUCUAUCUGGGUCUAGAUAGUCUUUUCCUCUUUAAGUCGGUUUCCUCUUUUCUGCCAUCAUACCGAAGCUCCCUUGCGCACAGCUUCGGCUCUGCUCCAUCCUUCGUAUUGUUUCCGUGCUUCUUCAUACCGUGGGCUCUUGUUCGAAGAUCCCUAUCCACACAUUAUACUCCAGAGGCAUUGUUAAAUCAUGUUUUUGAGGACCUUCGGAAGUCGAAGGCCCCCAACAGUAGCCCCUCGCAAUAUUAAUUUAUUAGAAUGAUAAAUUUAGAUCGCGACAUGGACGAAGGCCUUAAGCCGAAGGUCCGAAAAAACACCUUCCCUUUGCUAGAAUAGCAACAAUCAAUGACAAGCGGGGCCCUUUCCCUUGCAACACACUAGGCGUAUAAAUAAGAGCAUACCGCGAGCGGAUUUGGCACGCUUUUUGCCAUCUGCUCUUGCUCACCCAACUUUUAGCCCUUGCACACCAACACCUGCUUGGCCUUUUUUUAAAAAAAUUUAAGCUUCGGUUUCGAGAGCACUUUCUCAGCAUUUUCGAAGAUGUCUGAAGAUAAGAAAGUUGUCGCUGAGUCGAAGCUGAGACUUUCUGAGGAGAUGAAUCUCGGCUUUCUUGAAUCAAUAGCGAAGACAAAUACAGAGAAGAUUACUAGGGAGAUUUUAGAAGGUUUAUCUGAAGACACUGGUGACAGUGACAGUUAUGAUGUGGAAAGUGGUGGUGAAGAUUCCGAAGAUCGACCCUGGUGACCAAGCCAUGCAGUUUUUGGAAAAUCAAGCAUUAAACUAAGCCAUCUUGUUAAUAUGAGGGGCAGAUAUUUUCGGGAUUUAUCUAUUGUGAGGGCUGAUGAAGGAGAAAAAACUUGUCCUACUCCUGAGGAAAAUGAAGUCGUGAUAUUCCGAAGCUUCUUCAAGGCUGGGCUUCGGUUUCCUUUAAGCGGUUUCGUGGUUGAAGUUUUGAAGAUUUUUGAAAUCUACCUCCAUCAAAUUACUCCUGAAGCAAUCAUAAGGAUGGGAAUCUUCGUAUGGGCUGUGAAGAGCCAAGGUUUGGAGCCGAAUGCAAAAAGUUUCUGCAAUAUGCAUGAGCUAUUAUACGAGACGAAACCUUGGGGUAAAGAGAAAUAUCAUAACAAUUUUGGCUGCUACAGCUUCGGCGCCCGCUCUGGGUCAAGCUGUCCCGUGCCAACUUUUUGGAAGAGAUGGCCCGGGGACUCGAUGAAGGAAUGGUGUUAUGUAAAAAACGACUUGAAAACGCGAGAAGGUAUUAAAGAUAUCAUCAUGCGCCCCAUCUGGCAGCGUUUCGGCCUUCGGAAACCGAAGGUGGAUAUUGACGAAGCAACCGAAGAAUGCCAGAGGGCCUUCGGCGUAGUUUGCUCUUUCAUCGGGACAAGGGAUUUGAUCCAGGAACAUAUUUCCUUCAGAGUAUGGCCACUUGUAGAAAAGUGGGAAAUGCCGAAGGAAACCAUCAGCAAACCUGAUGAAGUGGACUAGUUAGGUUAAAAUAUACCUUCAGAUAUGGAGAUAAGUUUGUGGAGCCAGAUGAUGACUGGCUGAAAUGUAUUGAGGCCACAAGCGAUGAACUGCUUGGGCCAUAUUCGAAGACAGAAGAUACUGCACUGUCCGCGGCCUUCGGAGGUCGGAAGAAGAGACUCAACCGAGUGUUUGAUGCCAUUGGGUUCGUCUAUCCUGACUACCGUUACCCAACACAGGGUCAGAAAGGGAAAGAUACGACUUCUGUGAAGAAAGUUGCUUCAGCCGCUCCUAGUGAGCCGGCGCCGAAGAGGAAAAAGAUGAAGGUUCUUACGCACCGGCCACGCUAUAUUGAACCGGCCACAGUGCCUGAGUUUGUCGGUGAGACCUCUUCGGCCACCGAAGCCAAGGAGCCGACUCUCCUGCCGAAUAUUGAAGAGCCGGCCAAAAUGCCGGCAAUGGAAAAAAUAGAAGAACCGAGGGCUGAAGAGACAAAGACAUCGGAAAAGAAUGGUUAACGUGCUAAUGCCGAAUAUUGAAGUCCUUCAGCAAGAAUCGAGGUGCUAAUGCCAAUGCCGAUGGCACAAAAAGACCUUACGACAACCCCCAAGAGGAAAAGAAUGGUUAACGUGCUAGAUGUACUGGAAACGAUAAAAUCUUCAAGCUCUACUCCGAAGAUAGCUACUGAAGUUCCAAAGACACAAACUGAGGCCAAAGCUGCCAAAAGUCAAGCGGAAACUGAAACUGGGCUUUCAGAGCCUACCAAGAGGGAAUUCUUGGAAAUUGAAAAAGAAACGGAAAAAGAAUCUGCAGAAGAAACUUUUUCUGAGAAAAUCGUCACACAUAUUCCCGAAGCAUCUUCUGAAGCUUCUGACUAUGUAUUACGUCAUGCUUCGGGUAAAAAUCUGAGCGAAAAAGAAAAAAGAGAAGCUCAAUUCUAUGCGCAAAAAUUGAAAUAUCCAAAAGGGGCGCUGAUAUUCAACGGCAGCGGAGAAGAAGACUUCUUGUAUUGUCUCCCUCAUAGCAAGGAGAUUUCUGUCUGUCGGGAGAUGAGCAAAAGCUUCGGAUUCCCAACAUUAGAAGACGGGCUCUUGGUGUUGUCAAAGGACGAGCUAGCCGACAGCUUAGCGUAUAAUAGUUUAAAGGUGAAGAAAAUGAGAUCUUUGUAUUAUUUCUUGAAACCAAAAUUUUUCAUUUGCUUAAACUUAUUAACGCAUUUUUUUACAGGGUCUUAUACUUAGCAAUGCCCUCAGGGCACAAAAGAAUGACGAAGACGAAGGGUGCGCCAUAGCCCUGAGCAACCUUCGUUCCGAAGUAAUUGAUCUAAGGAACGAAGGUCUCGAAAAAGAUAAAAUAUUACAUUCGUUGGUGAAUAAAAUAAAAGAAGAUGAAGCUACUUUCAAAGCUCAAGCUGAGGCUCAGAAGCACGAAAUUGAGAAUCUUCGGAAACAACUAGCCAGAGCUACAGAAGAAUACACAAUUGAAGAAACAAAACGAGAAAUUAGUGAACAAUGGGCAAAUCAUUUAGAAAAAAACGUUGAAGAGCUUCGUGCGUCCAAGAAAAGGUGUUAUGAAAAAUCUAUAGAAUGUGUUAAGAAAAUAAGAACCAGCUUCACCAACGUUGGCGCGUUUUCAAGUGAAGAAAAUUUCAUGAGGGGUGACCCCGAAAGCCCAAUUGGAUGGAUCAGCCACGAAGCUGAAGCUUUUGAAUAGCCGUGGAGACAUAUGUGCCUUCUCGGGUGCCAGGGGGAUUGCCGCUGUUUUGGAGAAGAAAGGUUGCGAUCACGUGAAAUCCCUGGCACAGACCGAAGCCGUUUUAUCCUCUGAAGACAUAAAAGACCCUUCGGCCGAGGCGAGUUUGGUUGGUGGGAAAUUUUUCACCGACAUCUGGGAAAACGGUGGCCGGGAGAUGGCUCAAGAAAUUAUACGGAGAAGCGAGAAUGGUAUACAUGACGCUAGAAAAGUAGCAGAGGCCGCUGAGAAAAGUGUGGAUCUCGAAGGGCGAAUAGGUAUUAACUAGUAAUUUUUGGCUUUUUGUUGUAACCUUUUGAUUUUGAACUUGUUUACACUUUGUAACAUGGUCGCACCUUCUCCUCCCUCAGAGCCUGCCGAGCCAUCGACAGACCCCCACGUAAAGGGGGAUGACGAGAUUAGAAGAAUGGCUGAAGCUAUCAUGGACAAAGUUGUUGAUCAAUUACUAAACGAAGCUGCAGAAAUAGUUCUAAGGGAAGAUUAGAUGUUAUUGUAAAAACAUUUGGAAUGUAAUAUUUGUUGAACAAUAUGUGUAAUAUUUUGUAACUUUGAAUGUAAUAUAUAAUCUAUUUGUGGUUCAAUUCUUUACGAUGCAUGAAACUUUACAUACAUACCGUUUUUGAGCCUUCGGCGAAAAAACACCUUCCCUUCUUUUCAUGCUUCGUAAAUAAUAUCCGUAUAUCAUAAAAACAUCCAAUUUUCGUAAAAUCAGUAACCAAUAGAUCUUUUUAUUUCAUAAAAACAUCCAAUCUUCGUAAAAUCAGUAACCAAUCUUCGUAAAGGCAUGCUUCUUCAAUAAUUAUUUUUGUGCCUUGGCACUGUUUCUUCGAAACAAUCUCCGAAUAUCAACAUUGAAACCCCCUUCUUGCGUCAUUGAUGCAAUAUGAUGUAUGAUGUUAUGCUAUGCAAAUGAUGUGAUGAUGUGAUGUUAUGCAAAAUGAUAUUUGCCGAAGAUCAACGUUUAUUUUUCACUGCAAGCCUCCCUUAGGAGCUUCUUCGCCUUUUACUUCAGCGGAAUCAGCAUUUAUUUUUCGCUGUAAGCCUCCCUUAGGAGCUUCUUCGCCUUUUACUUUCAGCGGAAUCAGCGUUUAUUUUUUGCUGUAAGCCUCCCUUAGGAGCUUCUUCGCCUUUUACUUUCAGCGGAAUCAGCGUUUAUUUUUCGCUGUAAGCUCUGCAUUCCCUUCGGAACGACUUUUGAGCAGAAAACUUACGCUGCGCUCCCUUAGGAACGACUUUUUGUUAUUUCGGAGAUUCUCCUUGUAACCAUAAAUUCUUAUGCUUCGGCAACUCUGUUAUUUUGUGGAGAAGGUAUAUUUUUACUGUGGCGAAAACGAAGCUAUUACAAGAAAUUGAAAACGACAAAAAGCACUUAGGCUUUCAAUAAUUGUUCCUUAUUAAAAAGAAAAUGAUACUGAAUGUAAAAACUACUGCCGAGGUAGGAUAUUUGUUAGUAAAUAUGCUUCGAUUCUGGCACAGUACUAUUGACUGUGCGAGCUUCGGACUCUUCUCUAAAGUCCCGUUGAAGGUGGAUAUGCUGACUCCCUUCUGGCUGCUGGCUUUGUUGCAUUGGUGGUGGAGGUGGAGGCUGCUGCCAAGAUGCCUGAGGUUGGCUUGCCGAAGCAACAGAAGCUGCAGGGUGGUUGCCUACAUACUCUGGAAUGUAAGGCGAAUGGUAUGAAGCAGUGUGCAUAACUUGCUUCGGCUGGCUCUGUUGGGCUGCAGCUUCUGCUAUCUCCUUUUGUUUCUGGAUGGUAACAUGGCACAUCCUGGUGGUAUGGCCCUUGUCCUCUCCACAGAAUAGGCAAUAGAUCUUCCUGGGCUGAUCCCCAAAUCUUCCUCCGAAGCCCCUGGCACCUCUACCCCUUGGAGCUGGAGGCCGAGGAUAGCUCUGCUGCUGCCCCGAAGCCUGGGAGGAAUAUUGCGGCCUCUGCUGCUGGCUUCCCCUGUCAUCAUUCUGAGUGUUAUGAAUCGAUCUGACAUGUCUAGGGUGAACUCUCCCUCCGAAGCCACUGGCUAUUUUGGAGAACCUGUAAGCUUCCUCCCUUCUCUAUCGGAAGUCGUUGUCAGCGCGGAUGUAUUCGUCCAUCUUCUGAAGCAGUUUCUCCAGAGUCUGAGGGGGCUUCCUGGCAAAGUACUGGGCUGAAGGUCCUGGCCGAAGCCCCUUAAUCAUGGCCUCAAUGACAAUUUCAUUGGGCACUGUUGGUGCUUGUGCCCUCAGGCGUAAGAACCUUCGGACAUACGCCUGAAGAUAUUCUCCGUGGUCUUGGGUGCACUGGAAUAAGUCUUGAGCGGUGACCGGCUUCGUUUGAAACCCUUAGAAACUGGUGAUCAGCAUAUCCUUCAGCUUCUGCCAUGAUGUGAUUGUUCCUGGCCGAAGGGAGGAGUACCAGGUUUGUGCAACAUUCUUGACGGCCAUGACGAAAGACUUCGCCAUGACUGCAAUAUUGCCACCAUAGGAAGAUAUCGUUGCUUCGUAGCUCAUCAGAAACUGCUUCAGAUCUGAGUGUCCGUUGUACAUGGGGAGUUGAGGUGGCUUGUAAGACGGAGGCCAAGGUGUAGCCUGCAGUUCUGGUGAUAGAGGAGAAGCAUCGUCAAAAGCAAAAUUUCCAUGAUGGAAAUCCUCAUACCAGUCAUCCUCGUUGACGAAGCCCUCUUGGUGGAGCUCUCUGUACUGGGGCCUCCGGUUCUAUUCAUCUUGCGUAAGAUGACGAACCUCUUUAGAGGCUUUGUCUAUCUGCCUUUGUAGGUCAGCUAGCCGGGCCAUCUUUUCUUUCUUCUUUUGCACUUGUUGAUGCAGCAUUUCCAUGUUCCUGAUUUCUUGGUCCAAAUCGUCCUCCUGAGGCGUUGGACUGGUGGCCUUCCUCUUCUGGCUUCGGGCUUCCCGAAGAGAGAGAGUCUCCUGGUUCGUGUCCAGCGGCUGCAGAGCCGCAGCCCCUGUUGCUGAAGCUUUCUUUGGCGGCAUGACAAAGGUCGAUGCUUGCCGAAGGUGUUCGAAACUCAAAAAGUGGAAGUGAGUUCACCGGAGGUGGGCACUAAUGUUGGGGACUUGUUCUCAAAUGCUAAGAGUUAAGAACAAGGAAACAUAAAAAUGUUAAAUGCUAAAGUCCUUAGUCCUUCGAAGCAUUAUUUCCCUUAGGAUAUAAUGAAUUUCGGACGAAGGUUAUGAAGGACAUACCUUCAUAAGCACAACGAAUGAUGAAGAAGAAUUCAUAUAAAUUAUGAGAUAUAACAUAAACAUUUAAACAUUAUUAUUAACUCAUUUCUAUUGACUUGUCAGGGAAAAAUAGAAAUGAUAAUAAAUUACAAAUAUACCUUCGGCUUGAGAGAAGGUAAAGGUACAAGCGUGAGGCAAAAGCAAAUGCCAAGUCAGCGUGAAUAGUACGGGAACACUGUUCAUCUAUUUAUAGGCACGGGACGCAGCCCAUGCAAAAUUACAUCCAGGCCCUUUGCUUUUGACAAUAACUCUAUAGUAAUCUAUCUGGGUCUAGAUAGUCUUUUCCUCUUUAAGUCGGUUUCCUCUUUUCUGCCAUCAUGCCGAAGCUCCCUUGCGCACAACUUCUGCUCUGCUCCAUCCUUCGUAUUGUUUCCGUGCUUCUUCAUACCAUGGGCUCUUGUUCGAAGAUCCCUGUCCACACAUUAUACUCCAGAGGCAUUGCUAAAUCAUGUUUUUGAGGACCUUCGGAAGCCGAAGGCCCCCAACAGUUAUUUUGCUCUAAGAUCGGCAGUAAUGAAGUAUAAAUCAUCGUUGUGGUGUGCUACUCGGUUAAUUGAGCAUUAACACACACAAACAUGACGAGGAUGGUAUAAUCUCCAAAAAUGUGUACUUUGUUAGGUGGGACCCUAUAGCCUUGCAGAAUGUGCUAUGUUAGGCAUGCCUGGAAACGUGUGACGCAUACGUUUUGUGAACCUGUUCAUAUUAUAUGUGCUUUUAUAUUAUCGUAUUUUAUUAAAAUACUAAUAUUUAUUACUAGUAAGAUAUAACAUUCUAUCUAGCUUAAAAACUAACCAUAAAUAUUCCAUAAUAACUAGAUUUACCAAACUAAUAUACUAAAUAUACAUAAUAAAUACAAAAUUAACAAGACAAUAAUCAAUAUUUAUGAGCUUAAUAUAUUUAGACAUUAUGGUUGGUCGACGAUAAUCAUGCUAACUUUCCGUAAUUGCUUGAUUGUAAAUAUGCUUAGAAUAAUGCCUCUUUGUUCUACAUGGCAAAUAGGGACCAUUAUGGUGUAACACCCUGGGAUCCACAAACACCCUGAAAUGCUACUAAACUACACAACUAACCUUCAUAUAUUAAAUUUCGACAGCAUCUCCUUUGAAAAUUUGUAUAAACGUGGAAGCAACAGAGUAUAAACAGAUAUGAUGAUAAGGAAACAUAAUAGACAUUAAUAAUCUGCUAGAAAUGGGAAGAUAACCAUAACGACAUAAACUGAAUUAACUAGUGUGCACGGCAUGUUAAAAACAAACAUCGUUGACAAGAAGUUUCUAAUUAAAUCAUGGCUGUGCCUAGGCAGCGUUAUUAUAUGAGUGAAGGUGGACGUGAUGCUACUUCCCUCAUUCCCAACAUGAAUCAAGUACCUGUAUUGAGUAAUGCAAGAGUGAGAUGAAAACAUCUCAGCAAGUAAAUUGUUUUGACGAGAUAUUUAAACCAAAAAAAUUUGAUUUAAUCAACAUUUUAAAGGGAUCACAAUUGAGAUCAGACAUACUUGUAGAUAUAAAACUCAAUAGUCCCAAAAUAACCAAUGCCAUCUCAUUUCCACAAACAACCACAAUAGGUUGUAUAACACUUCCCUGCGUCAUCAAUACCUGCAAAUAUCACUUCAAUGUAUGCAUAGGAAUGCAAUGUUUAAGUCCUCUGCAUUCAUACUUCUUAGAGUAUAAAACCACACCAUCUGCAAAUAUCACUUCAAUGAAUGCAUAUGAAUGCAAUGCAUAUGUCCUCUGCCUUCAUACCUCUAAGGGUAUGAAGACGCAUCGUACCCCUCCUCGGGCAACGUACGAUGCUAAGUUGUACCGGUACGGUCGGACCAUAGGUCACGACAAAACUUCAGAUGCAAGUGAAUCAUGACAUGUAUAUGGCAUGCUGCAUUUAUCAAUAUACUACACUUCCUUCACAUACAAUACAAACCUCAAAUAAUACUUCGUUUACCUUCAGAUACAAUACAAACCUCAAAUAAUACUUCAUUCACCUUCAGGGGUGUUUAUUAAUCUCGUGGGUCAUACUCAAAUCAUCAUCAUCAUCAAUGAUGUUUAAGCAUCAGUAUAAUACAAUCAAGUAAAGCAUCACCAUAGAGUUCAAUUAUGAAAGAAUUCGAUGAUUCUGAAUAUUAGAGUGUAUGCGAUGAAACAACAAAGUCAAAACGGUAGCAACCACCGCUACAUUCACUUGCCUUCAUCGAAGAAGAAAAAGGUACUAGGCAUGAUUCGGAGUGUAGACACCUGCUGUGGGGCUUAAAACUUAGUACAAAUAUUCCACAAACAUUUGCCAACAACUAACAAAUCGCUCCUACACUUGUAACCAAGACCCGGUGGAAUGACUCCCACCCUGAACCACAUGUCAAACAGCAGGAGUGCUGUUUGUUAAUUUUGUAUCUUUAAAAUUAUAACAGUGGUGAUAUCAAACAAAUACUCUAGAAGUUUCUACACAAAAUACUCUACAACUUCGGUAUUCAAUGGAUAAUUAAAUUUUGCCAUCUAUAAGUUCUAAAACAUCUGACAAGAUAACUGACAGAAUCUGUUUCAGACAGCAGCAUAGUUAACUUCAAAAUUCGAUAUCUCCCAAACUCCUCAACCAAAAUUUAUGAAAUUAUGUUGACAGUAAGAACUUUUAUCCCUCUACAAAAGUCUCCAUAGUUGGAAGAGCCAAUUCGGCCAUUUACUAGAUGAAACCUACCAUUUAACAGACCCGCUCAUUUUUGUCAGGCAAACAAGAACCCUUAUAUAUCAAAGAGUAGUGGAUUUGAAUUUGUCUAAUAUGAAGUUUAUGGGCUUGGAUCAUUUAAAGUAUUUUAUAAUUCUGAAAGACAAGAUUAAACUAACUAUGUAUGAUCCUUUAGCACCGUACAGAUGGUCGAUGGGACAGUUACAUGGUUUAUAUAGAUGGACAUAUCUAUAUUCCUUCAGUGGUUGAGAAAAAGGUAAAGGUGUGUCACACUCACGCGUGCACUGCCUCCGCCGAGACGAGGCAUGGCGUUGCAAGGUGAGGCAUGGCAUGGUGCAGCACGAUCGUAUACAUGGUCGUGGCACAGUGUAGCACUGUUGUGGAUAGAUAGAUAAACUUUUGUUGUAGUUAGAGUGCAUGAGUUUUUGAAUGCAACACAAGAAUUUUCACAAUUUAACUUAAUUAAGAAGUUAUAUCUUGAUGACACAGAGUUACCUGACCAUUGAUCUCACAUGCCCUUUUAGCUCUCUCGUUCUCUAGACUCACCCUGACUAUUUAGGUCUCCUGACUCGCCAAUAUAAACACCAUCCUAUCAUUUGCUCUCGAAUACUUCUGUGUCACAACUCAACUGUCAGAUGAGUACUCCAUUACAGCACUGAGCAGGCCUCCGAAAUGAAUAUCUACUCAGAUGAAGGACGACAAUCGUGUUCUAGGGAAAUAUCAGCGACACAACUCCUUACUUCCUCCGCUUCUUCCUAGUGUUUUUUGUUGUGAUUGAGUCGACAUAGCAACAACACUGCACUAUUACAACCAGUACGACUAUAUCAACUAGCAAUGUCUUCCUUAUAUGUUACUAUUUAUUUUGCUCAUAUUCAUUAUGUUUAAAUCACAUAGGCGCCUUUAUGUUGGCAUCAAAAAAUCAGUAUCAACUUUAUAGAUUAAAAUGAAACUAAAAGUACCUAAAUUUCUAUCGGUGGGGAUCGAGUGAUUCUUUAAACCGAUUAUUACACAAGUUAACCACACUAAAAUUAACAAUGGUGAAUCGUGCCAUGAUUUUUUUCUAGUGGAAAAUAGCCAAACCAAGCAACACAUAUGUGGCUAUCGUUACACAUGUGUAAAGGUAUUGCAUCACACCAUUGUCACCCAUGUAUUUGGACAAUACCGAGAGGAAAAACCACUUAUUUAUUGUAUUAUAUCAAGUUUGUCUUGCUUACGUAUAAAUUAUAACCCAACAAAGUAAUCACUAAAUGUCAAAACCAACUAGAUACCAUGUCAUCUCUACCUUAUCUUACUAAUAUUCUUUUUGCAAAAUCCAAAAUUAAUCUUGCACAAGCACAAGGACUGAGAUGUGUAUAAAUAUCUCUUAAAUUAGUAGCUAAUAUAUCGCACAUAUUAUUGAGACCAACUAGCAACAUAGAAAGCACAAUAGUGUACCAACAAUGGCAGCCAAAAUAUUUUGCCUCCUUAUGCUCCUUGGUCUUUCUGCAAGUGCUGCUACGGCGACCAUUUUCCCGCAAUGCUCGCAAGCUCCUAUAGCUUCCCUUCUUCCCCCGUACCUCUCACCAGCGGUGUCUUCGGUAUGUGAAAACCCAAUUCUUCAACCCUACAGGAUCCAACAGGCAAUCACAGCUGGCAUCUUACCUUUAUCACCCUUGUUCCUCCAACAAUCAUCAGCCCUAUUACAUCAGUUACCUUUGGUGCAUUUAUUGGCACAAAACAUCAGGGCACAACAACUACAACAACUUGUGCUAGCAAACCUUGCUGCCUACUCUCAGCAACAGCAGUUUCUUCCAUUCAACCAACUAGCUGCAUUGAACUCUGCUUCUUAUUUGCAACAACAACAACUACCAUUCAGCCAGCUACCUGCUGCCUACCCCCAGCAAUUUCUUCCAUUCAACCAACUGGCAGCAUUGAACUCUCCUGCUUAUUUACAGCAGCAACAACUACUACCAUUCAGCCAGCUAGCUGGUGUGAGCCCUGCUACCUUCUUGAUACAACCACAGUUGUUGCCGUUCUACCAGCACGCUGCGCCUAACGCUGGCACCCUCUUACAACUGCAACAAUUGCUGCCAUUCAACCAACUUGCUUUGACAAACCCAGCAGCGUUCUACCAACAACCCAUCAUUGGUGGUGCCCUCUUUUAGAUUUCUUAUGAGUUAUAGUUCAAUAAUAAAGUUUUUUGUCUGAUGUUUGUGGCUUCCCAGAAAUAAGAAAGUACAUUUCUAGAUUCUUAUGUGCUUCUAGUCUCCAAAUGUGGUUGAUAGUUAUUUUGCUCUAAGAUCGACAGUAAUGAAGUAUAAAUCAUCGUUGUGGUGUGCUACUCGGUUAAUUGAGCAUUAACACACACAAACAUGACGAGGAUGGUAUAAUCUCCAAAAAUAUGUACUUUGUUAGGUGGGACCCUAUAGCCUUGCAUAAUGUGCUAUGUUAGGCAUGCCUGGAAACGUGUGACGCAUAUGUUUUGUGAACCUGUUGAUAUUAUAUGUGCUUUUAUAUUACCAUAUUUUAUUAAAAUACUAAUAUUUAUUACUAGUAAGAUAUAACAUUCUAUCUAGCUUAAAAACUAACCAUAAAUAUUCCAUAAUAACUAGAUUUACCAAACUAAUAUACUAAAUAUACAUAAUAAAUACAAAAUUAACAAGACAAUAAUCAAUAUUUAUGAGCUUAAUAUAUUUAGACAUUAUGGUUGGUCGACCAUAAUCAUGCUAACUUUUCGUACUUGCUUGAUUGUAAAUAUGCUUAGAAUAAUGCCUCUUUGUUCUACAUGGCAAAUAGGGACCAUUAUGGUGUAACACCCUGGGAACCACAAACACCCCGAAAUGCUACUAAACUACACAACUAACCUUCAUAUAUAAAAUUUCGACAGCAUCUCCUUUGAAAAUUUGCAUAAACGUGGAAGCAACAGAGUAUAAACAGAUAUCAUGAUAAGGAAACAUACUAGACAUUAAUAAUCUGCUAGAAAUGGGAAGAUAACCAUAACGACAUAAACUGAAUUAACUAGUGUGCACAACUUGUUUAAAACAAACAUCAUUGACAAGAAGUUUCUAAUUAAAUCAUGGCUGUGCCUGGGUAGCGUUAUUAUGAGAGUGAAGGUGGACGUGAUGCUACUUCCCUCAUUCCCAACAUGAAUCAAGUACCUGCAUUGAGUAAUGCAAGAGUGAGAUGAAAACAUCUCAGCAAGUAAAUUGUUUUGACGAGAUAUUUAAAGCAAAAAAAUUUGAUUUACUCAACAUUUUAAAGGGAUCACAAUUGAGAUCAGAAAUACUUGUAGAUAUAGAACUCAAUAGUCCCAAAAUAACCAGUGCCAUCUCAUUUCCUCAAACAACCACAAUAGGUUGUAUAACACUUCCCUGCGUCAUCAAUACCUGCAAAUAUCACUUCAAUGUAUGCAUAGGAAUGCAAUGUUUAAGUCCUCUGCAUUCAUACUUCUUAGAGUAUAAAACCACACCAUCUGCAAAUAUCACUUCAAUGAAUGCAUAUGAAUGCAAUGCAUAUGUCCUCUGCCUUCAUACCUCUAAGGGUAUGAAGCCGAAUCGUACCCCUCCUCGGGCAACGUACGAUGCUAAGUUGUACCGUUACGGUCGGACCAUAGGUCACGACAAAACUUCAUAUGCAAGUGAAUCAUGACAUGUAUAUGGCUUGCUGCAUUUAUCAAUAUACUUCACUUCCUUCAUAUACAAUACAAACCUCAAAUAAUACUUCGUUUACCUUCAGAUACAAUACAAACCUCAAAUAAUACUUCAUUCACCUUCAGGGGUGUUUAUUAAUCUCGUGGGUCAUACUCGAAUCAUCAUCAUCAUCAAUGAUGAUUAAGCAUCAGUAUAAUACAAUCAAGUAAAGCAUCACCAUAGAGUUCAAUUAUGAAAGAAUUCGAUGAUUCUGAAUAUUAGAGUGUAUGCGAUGAAACAACAACGUCAAAACGGUAGCAACCACCGCUACAUUCACUUGCCUUCAUCGAAGAAGAAAAACAUACUAGGCAUGAUUCAGAGUGUAGACACCUGCUGUGGGGCUUAAAACUUAGUACAAAUAUUCCACAAACAUUUGCCAACAAUUAACAAAUCGCUCCUACACUUGAAACCAAGACCCGGUGGAAUGACUCCCACCCUGAACCACAUGCCAAACAAUAGUAGUGUUGUUUGUUAAUUUUGUAUCUUUAAAAUUAUAACAGUGGUGAUAUCAAACAAAUACUCCAGAAGUUUCUACACAAAAUACUCUACAACUUUGGUAUUCAAUGGAUAAUUAAAUUUUGCCAUCUAUAAGUUCUAAAACAUCUGAUAAGAUAACUGACUGAAUUUGUUUCAGACAACAGCAUAGUUAACUUCAAAAUUCGAUAUCUCCCAAACUCCUCAACCAAAAAUUAUGAAAUUAUUCUGACAGUAAGAACUUUUUUCCCUCUACAAAAGUAUCUAUAGUUGGAAGAGCCAAUUCGGCCAUUUACUAGAUGAAACCUACCAGUUAACAGACCCGCUCAUUUUUGUCAGGCAAACAAGAACCCUUAUAUAUCAAAGAGUAGUGGAUUUGAAUUUGUCUAAUAUGAAGUUUAUGGGCUUGGAUCAUUUAAAGUAUUUUAUAAUUCUGAAAGACAAGAUUAAACUAACUAUGUAUGAUCCUUUAGCACUGUACAGAUGGUCGAUGGGACAGUUACAUGGUUUAUAUAGAUGGACCUAUCUAUAUUCCUUCAGUGGUUGAGAAAAAGGUAAAGGUGUGUCACACUCACGUGUGCGCCGCCUCUACCGAGAUGAGGCAUGGCGUUGCAAGGUGAGGCAUGGCAUGGUGCAGCACGAUCGUAUACAUGGUCGUGGCACAGUGUAGCACUGUUGUGGAUAGAUAGAUAAACUUUUGUUGUAGUUAGAGUGCAUGAGUUUUUGAAUGCAACACAAGAAUUUUCACAAUUUAACUUAAUUAAGAAGUUAUAUCUUGAUGACACAGAGUUACCUGACCAUUGAUCUCACAUGCCCUUUUAGCUCUCUCGUUCUCUAGACUCACCCUGACUAUUUAGGUCUCCUGACUCGCCAAUAUAAACACCAUCCUAUCAUUUGCUCUCGAAUACUUCUGUGUCACAACUCAACUGUCAGAUGAGUACUCCAUUACAGCACUGAGCAGGCCUCCGAAAUGAAUAUCUACUCAGAUGAAGGACGACAAUCGUGUUCUAGGGAAAUAUCGGUGACACAACUCCUUACUUCCUCCGCUUCUUCCUAGUGUUUUUUGUUGUGAUUGAGUCGACACAGCAACAACACUGCACUAUUACAACCAGUACGACUAUAUUAACUAGCAAUGUCUUCCUUAUAUGUUACUAUUUAUUUUGCUCAUAUUCAUUAUGUUUAAAUCACAUAGGCACCUUUUUGUUGGCAUCAAAAAAUUAGUAUCAACUUUCUAGAUUAAAGUGAAACUAAAAGUACCUAAAUUUCUAUCGGUGGGGAUCGAGUGAUUCUUUAAACCAAUUAUUACGCAAGUUAACCACACUAAAAUUAACAUUGGUGAACCGUGCCAUGAUUUUUUCUAAUGGAAAAUAGCCAAACCAAGCAACACAUAUGUGGCUAUCGUUACACAUGUGUAAAGGUAUUGCAUCACACCAUUGUCACCCAUGUAUUUGGACAAUACCGAGAGGAAAAACCACUUAUUUAUUGUAUUUUAUCAAGUUUGUCUUGCUUACGUAUAAAUUAUAACCCAACAAAGUAAUCACUAAAUGUCAAAACCAACUAGAUACCAUGUCAUCUCUACCUUAUCUUACUAAUAUUCUUUUUGCAAAAUCCAAAAUUAAUCUUGCACAAGCACAAGGACUGAGAUGUGUAUAAAUAUCUCUUAAAUUAGUAGCUAAUAUAUCACACAUAUUAUUGAGACCAACUAGCAACAUAGAAAGCACAAUAGUGUACCAACAAUGGCAGCUAAAAUAUUUUGCCUCCUUAUGCUCCUUGGUCUUUCUGCAAGUGCUGCUACGGCGACCAUUUUCCCACAAUGCUCACAAGCUCCUAUAGCUUCCCUUCUUCCCCCGUACCUCUCACCAACGGUGUCUUCGGUAUGUGAAAACCCAAUUCUUCAACCCUACAGGAUCCAACAGGCAAUCGCAGCUGGCAUCUUACCUUUAUCACCCUUGUUCCUCCAACAAUCAUCAGCCCUAUUACAGCAGUUACCUUUGGUGCAUUUAUUGGCACAAAACAUCAGGGCACAACAACUACAACAACUUGUGCUAGCAAACCUUGCUGCCUACUCUCAGCAACAGCAGUUUCUUCCAUUCAACCAACUAGCUGCAUUGAACUCUGCUUCUUAUUUGCAACAACAACAACUACCAUUCAGCCAGCUAUCUGCUGCCUACCCCCAGCAAUUUCUUCCAUUCAACCAACUGACAGCAUUGAACUCUCCUGCUUAUUUACAGCAGCAACAACUACUACCAUUCAGCCAGCUAGCUGGUGUGAGCCCUGCUACCUUCUUGACACAACCACAGUUGUUGCCGUUCUACCAGCACGCUGCGCCUAACGCUGGCACCCUCUUACAACUGCAACAAUUGCUGCCAUUCAACCAACUUGCUUUGACAAACCCAGCAGCAUUCUACCAACAACCCAUCAUUGGUGGUGCCCUCUUUUAGAUUUCUUAUGAGUUAUAGUUCAAUAAUAAAGUUUUUUGUCUGAUGUUUGUGGCUUCCCAGAAAUAAGAAAGUACAUUUCUAGAUUCUUAUGUGCUUCUAGUCUCCAAAUGUGGUUGAUAGUUAUUUUGCUCUAAGAUCAACAGUAAUGAAGUAUAAAUCAUCGUUGUGGUGUGCUACUCGGUUAAUUGAGCAUUAACACACACAAACAUGACGAGGAUGGUAUAAUCUCCAAAAAUGUGUACUUUGUUAGGUGGGACCCUAUAGCCUUGAUUAAUGUGCUAUGUUAGGCAUGCCUGGAAACGUGUGACGCAUAUGUUUUGUGAACCUGUUGAUAUUAUAUGUGCUUUUAUAUUACCAUAUUUUAUUAAAAUACUAAUAUUUAUUACUAGUAAGAUAUAACAUUCUAUCUAGCUUAAAAACUAACCAUAAAUAUUCCAUAAUAACUAGAUUUACCAAACUAAUAUACUAAAUAUACAUAAUAAAUACAAAAUUAACAAGACAAUAAUCAAUAUUUAUGAGCUUAAUAUAUUUAGACAUUAUGGUUGGUCGACGAUAAUCAUGCUAACUUUUCGUAAUUGCUUGAUUGUAAAUAUGCUUAGAAUAAUGCCUCUUUGUUCUACAUGGCAAAUAGGGACCAUUAUGGUGUAACACCCUGGGAACCACAAACACCCCGAAAUGCUACUAAACUACACAACUAACCUUCAUAUAUAAAAUUUCGACAGCAUCUCCUUUGAAAAUUUGCAUAGACGUGGAAGCAACAGAGUAUAAACAGAUAUCAUGAUAAGAAAACAUACUAGACAUUAAUAAUCUGCUAGAAAUGGGAAGAUAACCAUAACGACAUAAACUGAAUUAACUAGUGUGCACAACUUGUUAAAAACAAACAUCGUUGACAAGAAGUUUCUAAUUAAAUCAUGGUUGUGCCUGGGCAGCGUUAUUAUGAGAGUGAAGGUGGACGUGAUGCUACUUCCCUCAUUCCCAACAUGAAUCAAGUACCUGCAUUGAGCAAUGCAAGAGUGAGAUGAAAACAUCUCAGCAAGUAAAUUGUUUUGACGAGAUAUUUAAACCAAAAAAAUUUGAUUUACUCAACAUUUUAAAGGGAUCACAAUUGAGAUCAGAAAUACUUGUAGAUAUAGAACUCAAUAGUCCCAAAAUAACCAGUGCCAUCUCAUUUCCUCAAACAACCACAAUAGGUUGUAUAACACUUCCCUGCGUCAUCAAUACCUGCAAAUAUCACUUCAAUGUAUGCAUAGGAAUGCAAUGUUUAAGUCCUCUGCAUUCAUACUUCUUAGAGUAUAAAACCACACCAUCUGCAAAUAUCACUUCAAUGAAUGCAUAUGAAUGCAAUGCAUAUGUCCUCUGCCUUCAUACCUCUAAGGGUAUGAAGCCGAAUCGUACCCCUCCUCGGGCAACGUACGAUGCUAAGUUGUACCGGUACGGUCGGACCAUAGGUCACGACAAAACUUCAUAUGCAAGUGAAUCAUGACAUGUAUAUGGCUUGCUGCAUUUAUCAAUAUACUUCACUUCCUUCAUAUACAAUACAAACCUCAAAUAAUACUUCGUUUACCUUCAGAUACAAUACAAACCUCAAAUAAUACUUCAUUCACCUUCAGGGGUGUUUAUUAAUCUCGUGGGUCAUACUCGAAUCAUCAUCAUCAUCAAUGAUGAUUAAGCAUCAGUAUAAUACAAUCAAGUAAAGCAUCACCAUAGAGUUCAAUUAUGAAAGAAUUCGAUGAUUCUGAAUAUUAGAGUGUAUGCGAUGAAACAACAACGUCAAAACGGUAGCAACCACCGCUACAUUCAUUUGCCUUCAUCGAAGAAGAAAAAUGUACUAGGCAUGAUUCAGAGUGUAGACACCUGCUGUGGGGCUUAAAACUUAGUACAAAUAUUCCACAAACAUUUGCCAACAAUUAACAAAUCGCUCCUACACUUGAAACCAAGACCCGGUGGAAUGACUCCCACCCUGAACCACAUGCCAAACAAUAGUAGUGCUGUUUGUUAAUUUUGUAUCUUUAAAAUUAUAACAGUGGUGAUAUCAAACAAAUACUCUAGAAGUUUCUACACAAAAUACUCUACAACUUCGGUAUUCAAUGGAUAAUUAAAUUUUGCCAUCUAUAAGUUCUAAAACAUCUGAUAAGAUAACUGACUGAAUUUGUUUCAGACAGCAGCAUAGUUAACUUCAAAAUUCGAUAUCUCCCAAACUCCUCAACCAAAAAUUAUGAAAUUAUGCUGACAGUAAGAACUUUUUGUCCCUCUACAAAAGUAUCUAUAGUUGGAAGAGCCAAUUCGGCCAUUUACUAGAUGAAACCUACCAGUUAACAGACCCGCUCAUUUUUGUCAGGCAAACAAGAACCCUUAUAUAUCAAAGAGUAGUGGAUUUGAAUUUGUCUAAUAUGAAGUUUAUGGGCUUGGAUCAUUUAAAGUAUUUUAUAAUUCUGAAAGACAAGAUUAAACUAACUAUGUAUGAUCCUUUAGCACCGUACAGAUGGUCGAUGGGACAGUUACAUGGUUUAUAUAGAUGGACCUAUCUAUAUUCCUUCAGUGGUUGAGAAAAAGGUAAAGGUGUGUCACACUCACGUGUGCGCCGCCUCUGCCGAGAUGAGGCAUGGCGUUGCAAGGUGAGGCAUGGCAUGGUGCAGCACGAUCGCAGUCAUGGUCGUGGCACAGUGUAGCACUGUUGUGGAUAGAUAGAUAAACUAUUGUUGUAGUUAGAGUGCAUGAGUUUUUGAAUGCAACACUAGGAUUUUCACAAUUUAACUUAAUUAAGAAGUUAUAUCUUGAUGACACAGAGUUACCUGACCAUUGAUCUCACAUGCCCUUUUAGCUCUCUUGUUCUCUAGACUCACCCUGACUAUUGAGGUCUCUUGACUCGCCAAUAUAAACACCAUCCUAUCAUUUGCUCUCGAAUACUUUUGUGUCACAACUCAACUGUCAGAUGAGUACUCCAUUACAGCACUGAGCAGGCCUCCGAAAUGAAUAUCUACUCAGAUGAAGGACGACAAUCGUGUUCUAGGGAAAUAUCAGUGACACAACUCCUUACUUCCUCUGCUUCUUCCUAGUGUUUUUUGUUGUGAUUGAGUCGACACAGCAACAACACUGCACUAUUACAACCAGUACGACUAUAUUAACUAGCAAUGUCUUCCUUAUAUGUUACUAUUUAUUUUGCUCAUAUUCAUUAUGUUUAAAUCACAUAGGCACCUUUUUGUUGGCAUCAAAAAAUUAGUAUCAACUUUCUAGAUUAAAGUGAAACUAAAAGUACCUAAAUUUCUAUCGGUGGGGAUCGAGUGAUUCUUUAAACCGAUUAUUACACAAGUGAACCACACUAAAAUUAACAUUGGUGAAUCGUGCCAUGAUUUUUUCUAGUGGAAAAUAGCCAAACCAAGCAACACAUAUGUGGCUAUCGUUACACAUGUGUAAAGGUAUUGCAUCACACCAUUGUCACCCAUGUAUUUGGACAAUACCGAGAGGAAAAACCACUUAUUUAUUGUAUUUUAUCAAGUUUGUCUUGCUUACGUAUAAAUUAUAACCCAACAAAGUAAUCACUAAAUGUCAAAACCAACUAGAUACCAUGUCAUCUCUACCUUAUCUUACUAAUAUUCUUUUUGCAAAAUCCAAAAUUAAUCUUGCACAAGCACAAGGACUGAGAUGUGUAUAAAUAUCUCUUAAAUUAGUAGCUAAUAUAUCACACAUAUUAUUGAGACCAACUAGCAACAUAGAAAGCACAAUAGUGUACCAACAAUGGCAGCCAAAAUAUUUUGCCUCCUUAUGCUCCUUGGUCUUUCUGCAAGUGCUGCUACGGCGACCAUUUUCCCACAAUGCUCACAAGCUCCUAUAGCUUCCCUUCUUCCCCCGUACCUCUCACCAGCGGUGUCUUCGGUAUGUGAAAACCCAAUUCUUCAACCCUAUAGGAUCCAACAGGCAAUCGCAGCUGGCAUCUUACCUUUAUCACCCUUGUUCCUCCAACAAUCAUCAGCCCUAUUACAGCAGUUACCUUUGGUGCAUUUAUUGGCACAAAACAUCAGGGCACAACAACUACAACAACUUGUGCUAGCAAACCUUGCUGCCUACUCUCAGCAACAACAGUUUCUUCCAUUCAACCAACUAGCUGCAUUGAACUCUGCUUCUUAUUUGCAACAACAACAACUAC